Molecule: long non-coding RNA, 53246 nt
Filed under: Fragaria vesca (wild strawberry)
Lineage: Eukaryota; Viridiplantae; Streptophyta; Magnoliopsida; Rosales; Rosaceae
Description: long non-coding RNA (FVES_LNC000555)
Source: RNAcentral
CAAAGGUUACAAGCUCUAAACACAUAUAAUGUCAUGGCAAACACACAUACUCAAAGUGGUAAAUUCUAAGCAUAUGCAUUCAACUCUUGAACUAGCAUGUAGGAAUGUUAACUAAAAUUGCAUCAAAUCAUAAUAUAUCAUCAAUCCAUACAAGAUUUGUUAGGGCUUUCAACCCUAACCACAACAAAAUACUACUCACUCAUAAUUACAUAAUCAAAUUAAACAUCAAAAUAGAUCUAGAGUUUAAGGGAGAGAGUUGGCUUAGUGGUGUGUUGAUUGAUCCCCAAGCUUACGUCUUGGUGGUGGUGAUGAUGAUGGUGAUUUCCUCUCCUUCUUGCUCUUGAUGUUUGAUGAUAAGAGAUAGUGAAGCUUGAUCUAUGCUUUGUGUGAAUAGGUGGAGUGGAUGGAGAAAAUGGUAUAGAUAAGAGAAUGGAGAAAUGGUGUAGUGGUGGUGGUGUUAAUGAAGCUUUGGGUAAGAGAUGGUGGUGGUGAUGGAGGAGAUGGAGUAGAUUGGGGGAGGAAGAGGAAGAAGAUGGGUUUGGAUUUUGGGGGAAAAAAAAAAAAUGUGUAGUGGUGAAUGGGUGGAUGUUAGGUGUUGUGUAUGAAUGUAUGAUUAUAUAGAUAGAGAUAGAUGAGUGAAAAGUCAGAGACAGAAGAAGAAAAUCAGCUCUCCCAUGGUUCAAACCGUAAGGGAGAGAAGGGAAGAGUGUGAAAUUAGUGAAAAGCUCACAAAAGUCAAGAGAAAAGGUAGGGAAAUGAUGACAUAGGUUAGAGUAGGCAAUGAUGAUGUUUAAAGCAUGAUGGUGUCUAUUAUCCAAGGAAUAAUAUGAUGGAAGUAAAGAUGUUACUCCAUCUCAUUCGUCAUCCUUGCUCCUCCUUCAUGGUGACCGAAAAAGUCAUGGCACCACCAAAAGUGGUGGUGAGCCACCGUUUGUGCUGCCAGUAGUGGUGGUUCGCCGAAUCCAGAAAUUUACGUUUUGCUCCAUCUUGGACCGUCAUUCUUCCUAGCUCCAAAUCUCCAUAUUAAUGCUAAAAAUGGAUGUUUCCAUCACUCUUGCAAUAUUCCUAGAUAAAUAGAAAAUGAUUUAGUGAAAGGUAAAAUGAACUUAAAAACAAGACAAAUUCAAUAUUUAAGGGAAUGAAAAUGUGUAAAAUAUGGUCUAACAGUAGCAAUCGGAUCGUCAUCAUCUUCCAAGGACACCAGGAGGUUUCUUUGCACCGGUGGUGGACCAAAAAUUUCUUGUGGGGGUUGGUCAAAUGUCACCAAACCUUUGAAUUGCAUAAAUCAUAGCAACUAUGAAAAUCAAACGAUUUUCCUUUCAUGUCUUCCCUAAACAUAUCUUUGGCUAAGUGUUGCUAUGACAAUAAUUACAAAAAGAUAAAUAAGAAUAAUAUUUCAAGAAACAACAUUAAAGAAAAUACAUAUAAAAUAUGGAAGAAAAAAAAUGGGUAAAAUAUUGUAUAGUCCUUGUGAUUUUAUUUUAAUCUGAAUAGUCCUUAAAGUCACGAUUUUCAUCCAAAUAGUCCUUAUAGUUUUAUUUUAAUAUGAAUAGUCCUUAAAGUCAUGAUUUUUCGUCCAAAUAGUCUUUAUGGCCUUUAACUGAGAAAAUUGUCGGAAUGACUAUUUGGAUGAAAAACAAUAACUUUAAGGACUAUUCAAAUUAAAAUAAAACCAUAAGAACUAUUUGGAUGAAAAAUUGUGACUUUAAGGACUAUUCAGAUUAAAAUAAAAUCACAAGGAUUAAACAGAUGUCGAACCACAAAGACUAAACAAAUUUCAAUUCAAAAAAAAUCUUACUUCAUUUAUGUAAUUCCCUCCACUAUGAAGUCUCCUCUCGGCACGUGUAAUGCAUGAAUGCCACUUAUUCAUGUAUGGGAAGAGAAAUUUUUGCCAUCGAGACUUACAACUUUCAAACGAUCUUGCAUUUGGUGGAUUGCCGUUGAAGCCUUCAAUAUAUUUUCGCUCCACUUGUUUCCAAAUGCCGUCUCUUUUUUGACUAAUACCCUUCGUACAAUUUUCGGAGACCUUCAUAUAUGCAACACAAAGAACUUCAUUCUUUUUUCUUGUCCAAUUCACACCUUUUUGAGAAGGAGUGGACAUGUUUCAAACAAGUAGAAAUGAUAGAAGAGAAGGAAGUGUGAGAAAAUUUAGAGUUAAAAUGUGUGUAUAUAUAGAAGAUUGAGAGCCAAAUGACCGUUACAAAUUUUUACAUUUUUUUUUUUGGGUACAAAUGUUUCCGUUGGAAACAUUAAAAAAAAAAAUAUUAAACUUGACCGUUGGAUGUCAACGGUAAUGGAAUAGUGACUAUGGGAUUUUGUUUUCAAAAAACUGGUGGGAAAGGCCACAAUUUGAAUUUCUGGCUUAUCUUUGUGGUCCCGAAAGAAGGGCUCUAAGGUCACCUUGAGGGCCAAACUUUGACCUCUCCACUCACCUCAACCCCUCUUGCUCUCUAGCCCUUUAUUAUUAGAGCUUAUUUUUUGAAAAUUAGGGCCCUAGAGUUCACUUGGCCCUCCUUAUUGGAGAUGGUCUUAGGAUACCACGAACAUUCCGAAAACAGAAUGUUAAACAAAAAAACAAAAAAAAAGAGAGGAGGUGAAUGAAGGAUACCGAUCAUAUUCGAUGAUGGGCCUACUCGUACAUCAGAUAUGAUCUUGAACAGCCAAGGUGCGUUUUGAUUUGCUUGGGACUUCAACAUUUGAUCCAAUGGGAGCUGAAAGCAUUGAAUCGGUCGGUCUUAAUUGUAACAUUCUGAAAUUUCAGUUUUCUAUUUUUAAAAGGAAAAUUAUUUUUCGAGCUAUUUUUAUUCUGAUUUCUAUUAUUCUUUAAAUUCUUGGUAGCUUUUGAAAAUUAUUUCAAUUUUUUGGUUGGUUAAAUUUUGUCUUUCGAGCCAUAUGAUUAAACUAGAUGUCGUUAUGAGUUCGUAGGAUUUUUUGGAGCAUCGUUUAGAUAUCAGAGCUAUUUUUAAUGAUUUUUGGAAGUUGGUAUUAUCCAAAAAUUUAAUUCAAAAUAGCAAUUUUGGUGACUUGAUCCGAACCAUUGGAUUUUAAGAAACCGUUUAAUCUUGGCUGUUGAUUGAAGACUACAUUAAUCAAAGAGGAUUAGCUUGGAUUGCAUUGAAACACAGCCCAGACCGGCUUCAGUCUCGAGCUGCUCUGCAGCGGCGGAGCUCGGAGGAGUUGUCUCCGUCGUCCGGCCAUCUCUCAUCGUCUGGUGUCAACAGCUUCGUCUCGCCGUCCCCGACCUCAAGAUGCUCUUCUUUUUCGAUGAGGAGGUCCACUGACAGAGAAUCAAUGGAGAGAAACUUUUCUGGGUUUGCCGGCGAUCUUCGGAUUUCGGUCAUGACAACGAGCACGACCGGUGUGGAUAGUUUCGUCUCGGUCUCGUCGAUGUCCUUGUGGCUUCAAAUUGUCGAGACAAGGUCAAGUGAGGGAGAAUCGAAGAGGGGAAAGAUUUCUGAGUUUUCCGGCGAGAGUUUUGUGUUUUCCGGCCACCGGCGAAGACAAGUGAGGUAUGAAACUUGGUAUUCUCUUCGAGCUCUACCUGUUUCUAACUUUCUAUAAUUGGAAUUGAGUUUGGUUGAGAGAUGAUGAAGUUGGUUUUAGGCAGUGGAGGACCGCUGUGUGUGCCACUGUGCACGGCGGCGGUGGCGGUUAUUUUUGUAGUUUCCGGCCUUAUGAGUAUAUUGAAUUAGUUUGAGAGAUUGUAGAGGCUUGAAUUCGAUAUUGGUAGAGUUGGAGGAUUUGGAUUCUGGGCAGUGUUGACUGCCGUGUACGACGGCGGCGGUGCUACUUCCGUCAGUGUUUGGUGAUUUCUAGUUUUUUUUUUUAUGAAACUCUGAGCUUAAUCUUGAUUGCUAGAAUGACAUGAAAUUGAGGAGUUGGAGAAGGAUCGGAAGAUUGGACUGUGUUGUUAAAGGGUGCAGAUGUUUAUGAGCUUUGCUGAGUUUGGCAUGAUCAUUAAAACAUAAUUAUAUUGCUGUGUCGUUUUACUUGAUUUCUAAAUUGGAGAAGUUGUGUGUGUAUUUGAUAAUUGAUAUUGGAAUGGUGUUGGAGAAAUUGUGAUUCGGUGGAUUGAGUUUGGAUACAAUUAUGGAAGAAAUGCAAUACAAGAAUGGGUGUCCAGAGUAAAAUAUGAAGUCUAUUUGAGGUUGCAGCCUUUACUUUUGAUAUAGGGUUUGAGUGCCCUUAGUAGUUAAUGAAUUUGCAUCUUGUGCAUAUUGCUAUGCAGUUCCGAUCAUUUGGGUGAUCUUUAUUUAUUUUGAAGUGUUUUGGUAAUCGUCAUUCGAUACAAGGAUAGCAUGACUAUCGGCAUUUCCAGAAGCAGAAGGAUAAAGAUUUCAGAAUGCGAGUCGCUGUGUUACUAAUUUUAGCUAGCAUCAGAAGUAGCGAUUGGAUUCCAAGUAGGGUCUCUCUCGGGGAACCUUUCUUUAAAUUGAUAAUUAGGUUAUUAUUGAAAUCGGUGCAUUGUGUGGCAUUGGUUGAUAUAAUUCUUGAAUGUUAUUGUUUUUGUUAAAAACAUGUGUAAUCGUUGAUUUAUAUGAUCAAUGUUAUUGCUUUCCGUAAAAGCAUGUGUUCGAUAUAUAAUGCAAGUAUUGUUGCUCAAUUGAUAUGCAUAAUGCAUUGUGAGAUUAGUGAGAAUGGUGAGAAAGGUGAUUAUGGAGAGAUGAGAAAGAGAUUGAUAAAAUAGAUACAUUUUGUGUAGUUGAGUUUCCUCAUGGGUUUUCCAAGAUCCAGCCUAGCCCACAAGUGCACAAAUUCAGGGAAAGUAUGCCCUUUCGAUGGCGGACAUCAAUAAAACGAACUUUCGGGUUUUGGGUUUGGAGAUCAUGAGUAUAACAAGAUGACUAACAAAAGAGGUACAGGUGGUGAGAUAUUACUGAUUGUUAGAUGGAUUAAAUUCAUUUUAUCCCCUCAAACUUUAGGACUAAAAUCAGUUCAGUCUCUGAUCUGUUUUUUUAAGGAUUAAUUUCAGUUUACCCCCAUCAACUUAGGUCGAUUAUCAUGUUAGUCAUUCUUCUUUCAAUUUCAUCAAAAACACCCCUCAACUCCCAAUUUUCAUCAGCCGCGCAUGUCUAAACCUCCAAUCUCCAUUCAAUUUCUCUGUCAAGUGAUGACUUGAUAUCAAGAAAAAAAAAGGAAAAAUAGACAAAUUGCAUUUAAUCCCACCAAAAUCACCAAGGUUAAGGGGUUGUGAUGGGAACGAAGAUGUGUAUCAAUAUGGGGAGAAAAUGGUCCGAAAUGUAACUUUUAGAAUUUGACUUUCUUCUUGAUAUCAAGUCAUCACUUGACAAAAGAAUUGGAUAGAGAUUGGAGGUUUGGACAUGCGCGACUGAAGAAAAUGGGGAGUUGAGGGAUGUUUUUGAUGAAAUUGAAAGAAGAAUGACUAACAUGAUGAUCGACCUAAAGUUGAUGGGGGUAAACUGAAAUUAGUCUUUUUUUAAUCAGUUCAGUCCCUGAAUUUUUAGUUUUUAUCAGUCAUGUAUAAAUUUCGAAAUUACCUUCAAUGAUUACGUCACAAGCUGAGUUGGCCCACUUUUACAGAUUAUGAACCCCUCAAAAGGGUAUAAUGGACAUUUUCACAUUCCACCCUAAAAUUAAAAACAUAAACGCUCUAGCAAUAGUGCAAUAGUGCAAAACCACGACUUCCUAUUUCUCAAAUGAAGGGUGAAAGGCUGAAAAGUGGGCCACUAUGUUGGCUCCAACUCACCAGAUGACAUCACAUUUCGAGUUAAAUUCAAAUUUUAGACUAAAGUGAUGCAUUUUGAAAGUUUAGAGACUGAACUGAUUUUAGCCCUAAAGUUUAAGGGGGUAAAUUGAAUUUAAUCCUUGUUAGAUCAUAUAUUCGAGACAUUUGAGUCACUCCCGGUUGGUAAAAUACACGGUAUGGGACGUGUAGGCUCACCAAUCUUUGAUGUAUAGGCUGAUAGCCAGUAAUUGAGGAAGACAUUCAUUAUCAUACAUGCAUUGAAUUGUCGUUAUAUUUAUAAAGUUUUGUUUAAUAUUUGAUAACUUGUUUGUGCGACAUAGUUAAGAUUAACUUAAAAAAGUUUGGCCAUACUGAACAUAAGCUAACCCCUAUAUAAUCUUGUUUAGGUGCAUAGGUGGACACGUCUUACGAGAAGUUUAACUGUGCCGUUUAGUCAAGGAAGAAAAUUUCGGUGAUUACGGAAAUUUCGACCCUCCAAAAUAUAGAAAUUUCGACAGAAAUUUCGGGGAAAUAUCGAUUGCAGUAAAAAAAUGAGAAAAUUUACGGAAAUUUGAAGAAAAACAAGGAAAUUUUAAACCAAACUUUAAGAGAUGUUUGUUCUCUAUAUUAUGUACUAUAUUUGAAAUGAAAACCUUGAAUAAACAUUGAUCUAUAGGGAGUUGUAGUAAGUUAAGGUGAAAAUGAUAGUGCUGAACCGUUAAUAAUUCUUAAAAGUUUACUUUAAAUAUCUUUUUUUUGAAAGGUAGAUAUAUUAAAAAUGAAUUAAGAAGUGUAGGUAAAAAAGUUUUUUUUUUUAUAGAAGUGUAGGUAAAAAAGUUAGUUGGGGAUUAGACAUUUACCUAAUUUUUUACUUUUCAGAUUCGGAAAAAAAAAUCAAUAUAUAUUAUAAAUAUACUAAAAUAAACAAGUUAGAUGGUUAGUAGGGUUGGUUAAAGUGUUAACCUUAUACCAACCCAACCAAGGUUUGAAUCCCUUGGCUGCAAAAUUUUAUUUUGCCAUGCAAAGUGCAAACCAGUCAAAGGCUCAAAGCCAAAGUCAAAAGUUUCGGCUGGUCUACAUUCACUACUAGAAGAAAAGCUUUAGCCGACGAAAAUAAAAAAACCAGGCCGACGAAUUAUUUUUUUUUCGGCUAACGUGGACUUUAGCCGACGAAAUUUUCUUUCGUCGGCUAAUUUAAAUUUUCGUCAGCGGACAAAAUUAAAAUUUCGUCGUCUGGAUAAUUUUUUUCGUCGGCUAUAGUCUGUGAACUUUAGCCGACGAAAUUUUUAAAAGUUUAGCCGACGAAAAAUAUAAUUUCGUCGGCUAAAGUGCCUUAUAUUUGCAGAUCUGGACAACAACUUAUCUGGGAAAAAAAAAAACUAUACGUAGAACCUUCAAACGCAAAAAAGUAGUAAAAUAAGAUAUGACCAGAAUGGUGAAAUACGUCUACGGUUGAAAAAUCACUGUAUUCUGGUAAAGUCUCGGUGCCGAUAGUUGCGGUCAAUGCAAUUUACCCUUAUUAUUCACUAUGCUGCAGAUUUGGCGUUUGGUGUCCGAUUGACUAUUGUGAUACCUUUCCGGAAGCGUAACGGCCCUACGAGUCAAACUCAUCGCUUUGCCAUGACAUAUGGGCCUUUUUGGUUUCCGAGUCCGUUUAGGGCUUCAAAAUGCAGUUUUCUUAUUUCCGAUUAGAGUUGACCGUUUCAAUCGAGCCCUUAACGUUGUCGAAUCCAGUUGAAUUUUUUACCAUAGACAUCUUUCGUCAUAAUGAUCAUAUCUGACGGUCGUAAUUUUGGUUUGUAAAUUUUAGUCAUCGGAAUCACAACGUGUCUACUAUUUACCGUUAUUAUUCCCUAUGAGGAGCCCUAUCGUCGGAAGGUAAAUGUCUCAAAAAUUUUAUAUGGGCAAUUGCGUCUCAUCUACGUGAGAGUUUUUCGUGUGGAAGGUUUGACCAAACUACGUAAUAUAGAGGGAGAUAUGAGCGUUUUCGUGUGAUAAGUGACGAUGGAUUAGGGUUGACUGUUUCGAUCGAGCCCUUAACGUUGUCGGAUCCAGUUAAAUUUUUUACCAUAGACAUCUUUCGUCAUAAUGAUCAUAUUUGAUGGUCGAAUUUUGGUUUGUGAAUUUUAGUCAUCGGAAUCAUAACAUGUCUACUAAUGUUGUAUAACUUGUUUAGUAGGUUAUACAACUUUGUGAACCAACUCUACAUAGGAAGAAGAAUUAUCAAAAAUCUCAUGAAAUAAGAUGUGUUCAGAAUGGUGAAAUACGGCUAUGGUUCAAAAAUCAUGUAAAUCGGGUAACGUCUCGGUGCCAAUAGUAGCGGUCAACCCUGUUUACAGUUAUUAUUCCCUAUAGGGAGCCCUAUCGUCAGAAGGUAAAUGUCUCAAAAUUUUUAUAUAGGCGGUUGCGUCUCAUCUACAUGAAAGUUUUUCGUGUGAAAGGUUUAACCAAACUACGUAAUAUAGAGGGAGAUAUGAGCGUUUUCGUAAAUUUAUAGGCUUUAGCCGACGAGAUAUUAAAAAAGUCGUCGGCUAAGGUCAAAAAAAUUUUGACAGUAAACCAAAUUUGGAGGAAAAUUUUCAAAGGACUUUAGCCGUCGAAAAUAUAUGAAAAGUCGUCUGCUAAAGUCGAAAAAUUUUCAAAAUUUUCAAAAUUUUCAACCAAAAUUUUUUGGCGGUCAACCAAAUUUUCAAAAGAGUUUAGCCAACGAAAAUAAAGAAUUUCGUCGGGUAAAGUUCUUUAUAUAGGAGUUUUACCGGAGGUGGAUGGUAAGAAGUCAGAAAAUCAGAAAAAUGCCGGAUUUUCUUCUCGGCCUAGCUCCGCCGUCAAGCCACUGGAGACCGCCACACUUGUCCCAAAAGCUUCGCCGUCGUCUCUACUUCAUUGUUGGACAGGUGGUGCAUCGAGUGGCGCCGCCGUGAGGGAUAAAUCGAGGUCGAUCCCUAAACCCUAAUUCGGCGUCGAUCGAAUUUCUCCUUUCUCAGGUCACCAUUUGGUGAGUUCUAUAUAUGGAUAAGUUGAGUUUGAUUAGUACUACAUUCCCCUAGAAUUUGGUAGCUCGAUUCGGUGUGUGUGAGGAGAAUCGAAUAUUUGAAGUUUUUAGGGUUUAAAAUUGGGGAUUUUUAUAUUUUGAUUCAAUUGACAUGUUUAGGCUUAGAAUUGGGCUUCGACUUCUUCUAGAAAGUUGUUCGAAAUGUUGGGAUGAAGAUUCUGUCAAAUUUUAGUGGUGAUUGGAGGUGGCCGAAAGUUUCCGCAGUUUUUUUUUCAAAAACCAGCAACUUUAGCCGACGAUAUUUAAAUACUUAAAUACUUUAGCCGACUAUAUUCGUCGGCUAUAGUAUUUUUUAAUUUUUUUUAUAAGGUUUAGCCGACGAAACAGACUAUAUUUCGUCGGCUAUAGUUAUUUUUUUAAUUUUUUUUAAGGUUUAGCCGACGAAUAUCUUAAUUGUUUCGUCAGCUGAAGUCUGGGAAAAAAACCGACGACAUGUUUUUCGUCGGCUAAACUGUGGGACUAUAGCCGACGACGUCUUCUUUUUUCGUCGGCUAAAGCCAUCACCGACGAUCUUUUCCCAACGAAAUCUUAGCCGACGAAUUAAGCUAACAGGCCGACGAAACUUUUUCGUCGGCUAAAGUGUUUGUCCUGGUAGUGGUUGCAUGGAAUCGGAAGCGGAAGCGGUUUUUUCAAAAUUCUUCUGGAAGCGGAAGCAUUUUGGAAACGUCGAAAUAAAAUAUAUUAUUUAUUAUUAUAUUAUACUCUUUAAUUUUUUUUGUAUAUGAAUGGAUUAAUUACUCAUAAUAAUAAUAACAGGUAAUGGUUAAACAUGACAAUUGUUCGUUUUUAACCCACAUCCAAAUGGAUCCAAAGCAAUAAAAAAUAUUUCAAGUCAAAUCCUUGAAUAUAUCAUGUUUUGAACGGCAUAAAUCCUGUAACCAACUGUGAACCAACUGUGAAGUCUAUCCCAUUCCCAGCGAACAACAAAACCACUUAAACAACCCCAAUAUAUUCAAUCAAAAUACUGUGAAAUGAAACUCACAGCCAAAGCAUCGGUUCCACCCAAAUAGGUACUGCCCAGCUAACCCAACCCCUUGAUCUGCACCACCCAAGAGCGACGGUGGCGGCGACGAGAUUGGAGACCAACGACGGCGAGAGGGAAGACGACAGCGAACACAACCAUGAGAGCCAUCAUAGAAGCUUUUGAUGGGGCCAUUGUGUUUACAGAUUUUGAGAUUUGUGAUUUGGUUUUUGAUUUGCAGAGCUUGUGUUUCCUAUAGGUCGGAAGCUCGCGCUUCCAGAUUGGAAGCUCACGCUUCCCGCACGCUCCCAAUUCUAUUUUUUCCGGAAGCGCGCUUCCAUGAAGCUUCCGCUUCGCUUCCUGUUCCGAAGCGCGAAGCGUAGGACUGCCGGCGCUUCCGUGCUACGUAGAUUUUAACAGUUUCGGCCGAGUUUCGAAAAUAUCGAUAUUUUCAAAAAAUAUAUCGCGAAAUAUCGAUUUUUUGGCCCAAAAAUUUUGGGGUGAGAAAAAAAUUUCAUUACGUGAAAAAAAACGAUAUUUUCGACAAAAUAUCGCCGAAAAUAUUGAUUUUUUCUUCCUUGCAUUUAGUUGAUGUAUACAAGAGUCAGCCAAGUUUACGGAAGAUUAGAAGUGAGAUAGAUCACAAGGGCUCAUCUUUUUGUCUUUAUAUUUGUUUUAUUAUUUGUAAACGUUUUAUUUUCUUUAUUUCUGGAAAAAUAUUUGAAUUUGUUUUAUUUUCUUUUACUUUUCCCGCUCACACCUCGGGUUCAGUGUUAGAUGUUUGGAAACCACCGACACCGGGUCCGGAGUGUGACAUUAAUGCUGGUUUUAUUUUAUACCAACAUCCUAAUCUGCCUAAUGCCGGUGUACGUCUCAUGUCAAAAGGCUGCUAAACUGAUGCGACAUGUCGAUCCAGAGACUUCUAAGCUAGCUUAGUACUUAUGAGCCGAAUGAUUGCAACGGCAUGAUGAGGAACCUUACUCCAAACCCUAAUGUGACCUCAGACGUUGAGUUUAAGGCAAAUUGGGAGCCCUAGUUAGUAGUUACCCUACUCAAAGCUAUUCUCAUGUUUCAGUAAGAUGAGUUGCUUCUCAUCACGUCCAGCUGAACCAUAGUGCAGUUGAUAGUGAACAGUUAGUCAUUUAGAGAACAACAACUAUACAAACUAGCUAAGUUUGACAACCUUUAGAGCAUCUUUAGCAAUGCUAGUCAUUUUUGAGUUAAAUUUUAGUCAAAUUAACUAAAAUGUCAUUUUAGCUAGCCACUUUAGAAACGCAGCUGCAUCAAUGUUCUCUAUAUUAGCUAACAUUACAUCAACAUUAUUCUUCAAAUAAAGAUUAAAUAGUUUAAAUAUAUUUAUAUAUCACGUAAAAUAUCUUAUAAGGAAUGUAUUAAAUUAUAGCUAGCCUCAUCUGAGUCAUCUCGCUCUCUAUAUUUAGCUAGCGAGAUAGCUAAAAAUCAUAAUAGUUAAACUUUGGCUAGUCUGCUGGAGCUCCGAAAAUAUCAGAAAAAGCUAAACACGCUUUCUAAAAUAACUAAAAGUUAAAAUAGACAGUUAAAAUUGCUGUUAUUUUGCUUUUGACUGUAACUUGUUAUGGAAAUAGGAUUGGAACGUGUGUGGUAGUUAAUUAAGUGUCAUAUUCCCAGUCGCGCAAAGGUCGUCGGGAAAGUCCAUGGUGAACUAUUCUUUAUCGCCAAAAGCAACCAUUGCGACGAUUAAUGUUCGUCGAUUAAAGCCUUGAAAUUGUAUGAAGAUUCCUGUGGUGCCUACAAAAAAAACAUUUCGAUAAUCUUCCAUAUGCGACGUCCCGACCAUAAUGGCUCACAAGCACUUUCAUUAUCUGGAUUAAUUCAAGCUUAUCCAGUCCAGAAGUACACUCUCAUAUUUGGUAGGAUAUCUGUAAUAGAAUGCGCAAAUAGGAAACAAAUUUAUCCUGUUUUACAAUUCAGCUUAUUAGUGUCUUCCUUAUUUGUCUUUAUAUAAUUACUUGCUUACAAAAAAGCAAAAAGAAAAUAAAAUUACUUAGUGGAUGGGUCAAGCACUCAAGCUAUUACAUCAAGUGCACGUUUGGUACCCGGUACUGGAUUAGACCUCCUUAAUUCUUAAGACUGUCCUGCACUAGUGUGAACUGUCUUAAAUUGUACUAAUACUAGGCCACGUUUGGUGUUGCAUGGGAUUAGGAAAAAAAGUUCUAAAUUAGAGAUGUCUCAUGUUUGGUGAUGCAUUGGACUAGACUACUCUAAACAUAACAAUCUUAGUCUAACAAUCUAAACAAUCUUGGUUAUCUAACAAUAACAAUCUAACAUCUAACAAUCUUGGUCAUUGAAAUUUUGACAAGGAUUGUACAAACAGACAUAUUCUCUAAAUGCCACAGUUCCAACAGCAAGAUCAACAACAGAUUUCUUCCAUCCAUAUCUAAAAGUAAAAAAAUUGAAUCAACCAACAAUUCCCCACAAACAAAUAAGUGUAUGAAUAGACUUGCAUGCCUUAGUUAACAUUGAUAUCAGUAACAUUUAGUCAGAAUCAACAUAUUAAGAACCAAACAAUUAGUAUUAAUUCCAAUGUUUGUUUUGAUAAACAAGCAUCAGACAGAUAACAAUUCACCACAAUCAAACUGAAUCAACAUUAAACUGAUCAAUUAAUUAUCAAAGAGAGAAAGGAAGAAAUAGAUGGACAUACCUGUUGACGAAUCCGGGAAGAAGAUGGCGGCGAGCUUGGCCUUGGAGGUGUCGACAGCGCGGGUCAGAGGAGGUUGAGGACGGACCGGGUCUGGGAGACGAGGGUGCGGAUCAGAGAGGAAGUUGAGGAUGGGAGCGGAUGCGGGUCUGGGAGCCGAGGGCGUGGACGGGAGGGGUUGCGGGUCUGGGAGCCAAGGGCGAGGGUCAGAGAGGAGGUUGAGGACGAGAGAGGGCGUGGGUCUGGGAGCCGAGGGCGGGGGUGGAGGAGGUUGAGGACGGGAGAGGGCGGGGGUCUGGGAGCCGAGGGCGAGGGUGGAGGAGGUUGAGGACGGGAGAGGGCGCGGGUCUGGGAGCGGAGGGGGCGGAGCAGAUGCAGAUCUGGGAGAUGAAGGUGGAGGAGUUGUGGAGGAGGCGUAGAGAGGUUAGUGAGAUUAGUGAGGUCUUAUCUAAGGUAGGAUUUUCGGAAUACCCACGAUAACACCGGUUAAGGAGGAGAAAUCAGAAAACCGGUCCUAGUUAAGCCCAUUAAUGUUAGUACCGAGAGAGACCAAACGUGGGAUUAGCUUUGUUUCACUCCUUAUUUAAGAUUGGCUUAGGUAGUACCGGGUACCAAACAUACCCUUACUAAUCUUGUUUAUCCAAGACAAAUGUUGGGUCAGACAACAAAGGACUACUAGUCAGAUAUGUAAUUGUUUUUGGGUGAAAUAGUUAUAUAUUUUGGAUCAACAUAUAUAGAGAAAAUCUGGCUUGUGCGACCAACCCCACAGAAGCUAACACAUGUCACUUUUUUCUCCACGUCAACGUUGCUGAAAACACAACAAAAGCUCUGGUUCGUUUCCGACUACACUUUUCGCCGCUUCGCCAAGAACCGCCUAUUGCACCAAGCAGAACAAUCUCUACACCCUUGAAACCCUCCUCCAUCACGUCAACCAACACCACCACCUCAAGCUCACUCAUGAACGCCUGCACAUAGGGAUCCACUACAUCACAUUCUCCAAUCACAAAUCCCUCCGGUCGUGUUUGGAUUACCUGGAUUACCCCACUGGCAAGAACGCAAGAUCCCCAACUCUCACCCAUCUAACUCGUCCUCCCUUAAAACCCUAAAUUUCCCGAUCUUCCCCUCGAUAACUCCCCCUUCUCCAAACACAUCUGAACAACAAUGGCUUCUGUGUGGAGAAGGAAAUUAAAGGUUAGGAAGAUGCUGACGUGGAGAAAAAGUCUCAUGUGUCAGCUUAUGUGUGGCUGGUCACACAAGUCAUCUGGUGCGGCUGUUGCAUGCCAAAUUUUCUCACAUAUAUAACUUGGGUCAGAGAAAAUAACAAUUUGAGUACAAGUACUUACAUGGAAACAUAUUUUUUCGGUUAAUUUAUAGUUUUUGAGCUCAUCAUAAGUUCACGGGAAAAAGAUGUGACCGUUGUAAUUAAAAAUACUGAAGAAUUAACGCGCGAAAUGUUUAAAACCAUAAAAGUUAGAGUUAAUUGAUUAGUGUAAUUUCUAAUACUCUUUGUUAUGAUACAACUGUUGCACCAGAGGAAGACUAGAAAAGCAAAAUCCAAGACCAAAAAUAUAAAUGGGAAGGUUUUGUGAUUUAAUUCAUCUGCAGACAAAGGAAUGGAGCAUACAUGUCACUGAAGUUGAUGACAUGGCAACGAGUAAUUGGUGAAUUGCAGCUAGUGAUUAGUUCAUCAAGGCUUGUUGUACUGCAGGUGUCCUUCAUUCAGUCGGGCACGCUGUACUGAGAGGCUACCACCCUCUUUCUGAGGAGCCCUAGCUAGAAUAAAUACAUGUCAUUUACCUCUAUCUUUCUCCCCCGCAGAAAUAUUAUUGUCUGAAAUCAACUAGCUCGAUCAGUGCCUCCCUCCUUUGCUCUCUCAUAAUUUAGGGUACGUAACUAAGAAUUGAUCGAACAUCUGGUUUUGGGCAGCUAGCCCUUCUUCAAUUCCAAUAUUUGUCCCCAAUUAUCCUGAUCUAAUCGAUUCUAGUGUUGUUUUCUUAAGGUUUCCAGAGAUCUUAGCUGAAAAUGAAUCAAUACCCUGAUGGACGAUUUUUCCUCAACUAUAGAGGUACGUGAUGUCUUGUAAUAUAUAUGGUGAAUGGAUGAUUUGAUUUAUCGGAUAUAAAAUGGUUUAAGGUCACAUAUGAGUGGUUCAAGUCUUUUGGUGCCCCAAUUAAUCCCAUUGUUCUAGAUCUCCUUGUUGAUGAUUGAAUCAUUGAAUCAACUCAAUCAAGGCUUGGAUCUAUUGUCUUCCUAUAUUAAUUUUUAAGGGAAAAGGGUUUGAAUCAUUUCAUGAAAGUAAAAUGAAUCAGAAAUUGAUAGGAAUUGUGAACCGAAUGGAUAAUCUAAUUUGGGGAAACGAUCUAGAUUAGAAGGAGAUAACUAAUGCUAGGAAAAAUUUUGUGUACCAUGAGGUGCAAAUUUCGCCAACCUCAGUUUUUCCCACUUCAAAAUUACAAAUUUGUGUUUUCCAAAAAUUAUCUUGUUUAACAGAUCUAGUGUUGAUUCUCAAUAAAAAUAAAUAAAAAAACAGAUCUAGUGUUGAUCUAGUUCAAUUUCAUCACAAUGAUGAGAACAUUGAUCGAUCUCCUUCAUAAUUUUACAUUUUGGUUCAAUCAAAAAAAAAUAUUGUUAAUUAAUUUGUGGUGAGUAAUUGUAAACAUGAUCUAAACAGUUCUGUUAAUCAUAUGCAGAAGUGCUUUAGAUCUACCCGGUUAACUACAUAAUACGAAAUACGAAGUUAAUCAUCUAUAGACUAACUAAUCUCCACUCUCUCGGUACUUAGACAACCCCGUUGUCAUAAAUAUGUGUCUUGAAUAUAUUCAAAAAAAAAAAUGUGUCUUGAUAAUGAUUACGUAUGCGGCACAAAAGUGUACAAUUUUAGAUAACGUUCCACAAAUUUAGUGAAAAGUGACUAAUUAAUUAUCCAAAAUGACAUUUUAUACGAGUUAUAUCUAUGGCUAGCAUGUACACCUCUUUGCUUGUACUUGAUGAACGUUCAUGACAUUUUAUUUGAAAGGGAAUAUAUGUAGGUCUCCCACUGUAUAGCUACGUACGUUAAUGAAUUCAUCAAUCUUGAUUUUCAUGCAUAAUCAUCUCUAUAAUUUUGAUUCAAUGCAGCUGAUACCGAAUCGGUGGACAGUAGCAACGAAGCUCUGCCUGACGAGGUUCCUCCUCAGCUGGCGGAUACGCCGGGGCCUUUCCUCAAGUAUCUGGCCUUGGAACCACCACGUCCACCAGUUGCUACUGCAGUAGCUUCACCUGAAACCAGUACCGGAAGACGCUCGGAAAAGAAGAAGAAGCCGAGCAGUAAGAGCAGUCCCAAAGUUUCUGCUCUUACACCGAAGAGGAAACCAGCGCCUGAGCCGAAGACUUGGAUUCCGCUGUGUGUGAGAGAGAGCAAAUGGGACGCGUACUACUACGCUAAUGAUACGAAAAAAUUUCAUCUGAAAUAAUAAGACUCUCUUUAGUGCUUUCGUCAUGUUAAUGGUAAAUAAGUUGGUACCCGUUUGGCUUUGUUCAAGUACUCUUUUCAUUCUCAUUUCUCAUCAGGUUAAUAAAAUGACUAGAGUUUGUUAUGGCAUAUAUAUCUCUUUGUAGAGAGGCCUCAGCGUAUUGCGUAUCGGUUUGGCAGUUUAACAUUUUUGCAUGUUGCCUUGAAUUAGUGAGUAAAUUUACUGAAGUAAUUUCCUCGAUUUUUCGUGGUUUAACAAAAAAAAAGUAUAACAAAAUCAAGAUGCAUGGUUUACAAGUAAAAGGAAGAAAAUUCCAGGUUUCCUCCAUGUUAAUCGAGUUGGUCAUGUAUAUAUAUGCAAAUGAUGACAAACAAUAUGGGAACAACAAUAUAUAACGACCAACAAAGCAACGAUCGAGUCUGAUUGUUAAAUCCUUUAAUCAGUUAAUGUAUGAUGAAGUUAACUAAGCUGAGCAAGUUUUAUCAAAGAAUUAUUACGUGACUUAUGUCAUUGAAUCAAUAAGUAUACUAAACAAGUUAAUUCAAAAACAAAAAACAAGAUAAAAACUAAAAAGAGGGACAUGGUGAGCUUGUGCAUGUUCACCUCUACAAAUUUGGAAUGGUUAUACAAAGUAAUUUAGACCUAAUUAUCGAGCAAAUCAAUUGAAUUGCCACCUUAGAAAACAGAAAUGCAUAUAUAGCACCGACGAAACGUCAGCUAGAGAUUCUUCCACAUCCAAAUUUUGAUCCUACCUGAGUUCAUUUCUUAUAACUUUCAACACCCGUCUUAAGAUAAUAACUGGCAAUAAAUAAGAAAAUCUUAUCUUAAAUUUCAGACUGCAUGAAAGGCAUAAAUUGCAAUCUGGUCUUUGUUUUCGUAUUUGGAAUGAUAUCUGUGCUUUUGCCACAGCAUCUACUCUGAAUAAAUUAAAGCAAAGGGGCUUUGAUAGGUAACAAAUAUUCGUGCAUUAAUCAACCAAUUCAUUUUUUUUUUUUUCCAAAGGUGUAACUAGCAAAUGAGUCAGUAAAUGUAAGAAACUGGUCUUUUAAACUUGCCUAAUGCACGGGCUCACAUUUCUCCGGUUAUAAAAAAUCCACUACCCACUUUUAUCUCCUUAAUUAUCUCUUUAUUUUAUUUUUAUUUUUUAUUUUGCUAUUUACCAUAUUAACCCUUGUUUUUAAUAAUUUGAUUCAACUUGAAACAACGACUACAUUGGCUCCAGCAGCCGAACAUCGUCGUCAAGCAACUCUGUAGUGGCGUCAAGCAACCCUGCAGUGUCGUCAAGCAACCCCGCAGCGCAGUCAAGCAUCCCUGCAGCGUCGUAACCUUCCCUGCAACGCCGCCAUGCAUCCCUGCAGCGUCGUCGUCCUCAACCUUCACCAUUGGCUUGUCUAGUCACCAUGCCAGCUCAAUCCCGGCACAACCACUGUUAAGCCGUCCUAACUUGAAGGUAGAGACCCUCACCGGACUACAAACCACCACCGCAAAGGCAUUAGAUAGGAACGGACCCGCAUCCCGAAAUAGCAAUGUCCCUCCGGUAACCAUCAGACUAGAAACCUCUCUUCCAUACACAACACCAGAUGUGUUGCCGCACAACACCAGAUGUGUUGCCGCACAUCACAGAGGCAGAGAAACCAUCGAUCUCAACGAGACCGAGAAGGAACAGAAGAAAAUAAUCAGACCAAGAUCCAAUUAGAGCAUGAAGAAGCCAACGGAGGAAAACCCCGCCAUAUCCAUCAUCAAGAUCACCCGAAAGAGAGGAAGACGCUCUAAUUCCGACAACAAAUUUAGAGCCGCCACCGCCGCUAGGGAACCCUAGCAGAGAGACUCUUGUCAUAACUUAAGACUAAGCAAAACAAACGUUAGAUCAUCUAUCCGAAUCUUAUUGUUGUUGUUUGGUUUUAAUUUGUGUUCACCCCCAUUUUUCCAAUCCGCAAUUUUAAUUCCUUCGUAAUAGUUUACAAGAUUCAUCACCCAUAGGAACAUGGAACGAAUAAGAUAGUAAUAUGUGUACUGAGAAGUAGAGGGAUUUUUCCAUACGAAACUUCAAAAAAAUUCCUUUGUUUUUUGGGAUUGUUUUGGCCACACCAGUAAGUCUGGGUAUGCAAAGUCUCUUUUAGUCGUUGCAGGCGUACCACCGUGCGAACGCGAAAUGUAGUGGUUGUAGUAGCGGGGUGCGCUUAGCCUUUUGCUUCUAAUCAAGCGACUAAGGAUGGAGGGAGCACCAACUCCACCACAGGGUUCUUCAGAUUCGUCUUACGUAUUGGGCAAGGACUUACAAUUGUCGCCUGAGCGUCACAAUAUCAAUACUCGACAUGAGGUCGAGCAGAGCAUCAAUUGGAAAGGAAAGGAAAAAAGACAAAACUCCGGGGAGCGUACAAGGAAAGUAAAGAGACAAAGCUUCGGGGAGUUUGAAAGGAAAAUGUUUGCUAAGGCGUGAGGCUUUAGCAUCUAGGUUCAACUAGGUCGAUAGCUGUAUUGUAUUUUUGUUGAGUUGUUGAGUGUGUGUAGAGCAGAUCCUCGAACUCUAUUAUAUAGAGUUAUUUUAAUGCCACAUGUAUUGGCCCAAAGUAUAUCAAAGACUUGUGGAAGUCUUCAACAUUAAUAUUGUAUCGUAGGCAGUUAGACUCAUUUGCCUCUUGAUAUAACUUUGUUAGCUAGGUAGCGAGAUAGUGUUUGAAUAUCUCGUGGAGACCUAAAGGCCUUCUAAGCUUAUCCUGCUGGAUUUGCAUACGUAUCAUGUAUACAUAUUAAGGAAUAGAAUCAACCCCUUCUCAUGCAAGCAACAUGUGCACGUGUAGUCCCUCAAGCCAAGCAUGGAUAAUUGUUUCCUUCUCCAAUUGAGAUACUAUAGCCGGAGUCUGCAUCUUUUCUUCUUUUACGCGAACUACUAGUCUUCGCAUGCAAGCAAUCUCCUCGCCUGUAAACUCCUCUUCGCAUGCAACUACAUUGUCUAGCUCGCAUGACUUUGUUGGUGGGUCAUCACUUGUAAACCCACUAUUUCGGGCUUGUCGGUGCGGACCAUGAAUUUAACUAAUAUUCACAUAGACAAUUACUGUCCAAUAAAAUAUUAAUUUGAGUGUAAACAUUGCCCCCCAACCUCGAAGUCAUGAAUGUCAAGAAUGAUUGAAGAGGUUUAUGUACAUGUUGCUCCAAAGCCACUUGGCUCGGGUCAUACACAAAAUGAGUGUGAGUAAACAAGCCUCUGAAUAGGCUUUAAAACUCAAGCACCCAGCAACAAAGCAUUGUAGAGAAGCUGUUGUACGAUUCGCCCAAUACCAUAUUAAAUUGAUGAUCAUGAACUUAACAUAGCUAGGUACCUUGGACUUGAACUUAACAUGCACUUCUCUUGCUCUACUUAGAAUACAUGGUACAUUGCACAUACCUCGAGUGCAUGUAUCCCGAAUGAAUGUGUCUUGAACAGAUGUACCUUGAGUGGAUAUAUUUGAAAAAUAAAGAACCGUCUGACCUCGAAGGGACCCCGAAUGGAUGUACCUCGAAGGGAUGUACCUUGAGUAGACGUUCGCUUUGAAUGGAUUCAAAAUUGACCUUCGCUUGAGCUCUUGGCGAUGGCGAACUAUCUUUUUGAUAUUCAAAUCAUGGAGUGACAUUGGCCAUGUACUUCGCUGCCCCCCCCCCCCAAAUGCGAAUCAAUGAGAGUCAAACAAAAGGACCAUGUCGGCGAACGGCCGCAUAAUCUUGAAUUUUUUAGAGACCAUAGGUGUUGGCCUAAAUAAUGACCAAGCGUUUGAAGAAAGUCUAAAGUUUUAGAUAUUUGGAACACAUCUCUAUCCCAUAUGUGCCCCCUAGUUUUGAUGUUUGUUCGUCGAUAUUUGGGAAGAAUGAAGGACAUCAAAACUUUAGUAUGCCUCGCAGUGAAGGAGUGAGACGUUGUUGUAGUACCGUGCAUCAUUGAAAUUGGCAGACACCAAAAAAUGUCGUGGAUCAGCCUUGAGUAGAUUCCGGUAUAUGAAUAAAGGUACAAAAAACUUCUAUCGAUGUCCCCUAAUAAAGGAAAGCAUGUUGCUAGGUCAUGAAAACACAUUAAAAAAGCACAUUGCAAAUUCGCGUGUAUCCUAACUUGUCUGCAUUCAAACUGCCAUAACUCUCUCCAGGAAUGUCGGAAUGACGAACCGUAAAAUCCUCUGGAAAAUAGACAUCCAAGGCUUUCUGUUGAUAUAAGACUCGCCUGUUGGUUCUUUCUGGAUCAUUCCAGGCUAGCCCGCGAAGUUGACUGUCCAGUUGUGCCUGUUGCAAUUUUUCAGCAUUGUAACCUGGACUGAAAUUCCCCUUCGCUGGCAGUAACUCUAAGGCAAUGUGGAAUGCCUGUUGUCUUCAAGCCUCAGGGAUAGCCUUCUAAGUAAAGUUCAAGCCUUUUGUAGGUAAAAACGUUAUCUUGCAUUUCAGCAAAACGAAGAAUCUCUUUUUGUGUUUUUUACUAUUUGAUUAUUUUUUUUAUUUUCUUUUUUCAAUGCGAGAAAGAAAGAAAAUGGAAAGAAAACGGAAGUAAAACUGAAGUAAAAGCUAGGAGCGAAGUAAAGAAUGGAUCAUAGUAUGAUUAGUUACCCUUCGUAAGGCCAUGGGGAAGGCCACCAAUGCUUCACUCCAAGCCUCAACGCCGAUAUGUUCCCGGCAUGAGACUCUUGUUGUCGAGAACUUCCAAGUGUUGAGCAUAGAUGUUUUGCGUCAACAACUUGAAAAUUUGAAGAAAGUAGCUCGUAGGGACUGCCCUGUUGCCCCCCAAGCAUCUUUGUCAUUUGGCAAAACAUGAUCUUCGAUUGCAUCCUUAUGGGCAAAAUGGUGUAAAGAUUUGUCUUGUCACCAACCAUCAUGUCAUAAUGCAUGGUCUUAUCAGGUAUAGCCACGCAUUGAUUAUGGAAGAGGACCACUUGCUGAUCUCUAUUUACCAUAUCAAGAGCUUCACUGGGAUUGAACUCUUGUGGAAUAUGAUUAUGAUCAGACAAACGCACCAACAUAUAUUCUUCAUCAUAUUCAUCAUAAAUUGGCUCUGUGUCAAAAUCACAUGCAGAAUCAUCAAAGGACGGUAGCUCGACCUUCCUUGCAACCAUAGGCAUGCAUGGGACAUGUACGUACUUCGCACAUAAACCAAAGUCACCUCUUGGCUUCUGAACUUGCAUGUAAAAAUUCCAAUAGCAUUGGAUAAAGAAGCCACGUAUUGGCUUUGCAAGAACACAUGUUGGUUGAUAAUUAAGUUGGCCACUAUUUUGGCCAUACUUGAAAGAACGUCCAGAAGCUAAUUGACAUAGUAGGCUUUCACCUAUUCCUUCACCAAGACGUCCAACAACUUCAUGAAUUUGCUUCUCCAGGUUAAUUAAAGAAUGAAGGCGAGCUACACCUUGCCCCCUAUGCAUUUGACAUGUGUCCACAUAUAUGUCUCGCAUAGGAAAAUUGGCUCCUUGGUCACCUUUCAUGUUAAAUUGUGGUUCGCCAUCAGUGUUCGAAUCGAUAUCUUCUUCUAAGAUGGAUUGUUUUGUCCUAUCUUCAAGCUCUUUUUCCUGAGGAACACCGUUCGUCUUUGAGAUAGGAUGAUUUUCCAUAAUCUCAACAACCUUGACCUCAGGUUCUUCGUCAUUGAUUGACAAAAUAAUUUCUUCUUUGGAGGUAGGUUCGUCCAAAGGAAAAUCUUCGCCAUUAGAUUGGUUGCUAGGCAGUUCAAUCUUUUUGGCAAGGACAUGCUUGUCAACUAUAGGCUUUACAUAUUGGCGUUGGAAAGUCUUUUCGUUGUGUCGCUUUACGAGGAGCAACACUUGUUUCAUUCUUAUUUUUGCCAAUCGGUCUUUAAAGGCAGCCUGACGUCGUUGAAACUCUUCCUCGUAGGCCUUCCAUUUAGCCUUUCUGUGUUCUUCAGCAGCCUUCAAUUUUUCCAUGGACUCGGUCUCCAGUAUGGCCUCCUCUUUUUUCCUGGCAGCCAUUCGCUCAGCAUGUUGUUUGGCAUGAGCGGCCAUUUCCUCGACGUAUGCCUUGUUGUUGGCAGCUCUCCGUUCGGCAUAUUUUAUGUUGAUGGCUUCCCAUUCCUCACGCGAAUUGCGCCAAUCCAUUAUCGCAUUUUUGUUUCCGAUCUUUGAUUCCAAUGAAGGUGACGUCAGAGACUACCCUGGUCCCACCGGGCAUGCCAAUGUUUUGGCCACACCAGUAAGUCUGGGUAUGCAAAGUCUCUUUUAGUCGUUGCGAGCGUGCCACCGUGCGAACGCGGAAUGUAGUGGUUGUAGUAACGGGGUGCGCUUAAACUUUUGCUUCUAAUCAAGCGACUAAGGAUGGAGAGAGCACCAACUCCACCGCAGGGUUCUUCAUAUUCGCCUUGCGUAUUGGGCAAGGACUUAUAGUAGUUUGUUUAAGCGUCACAAUAUCGAUACUCGACGUGAGGUCGAGCAGAGCAUCAAUUGGAAAGGAAAGGAAAAAGACAAAACUCCGAGGAGCGUACAAGGAAAUUAAAGAGACAAAGCUCUGAGGAGCUUGAAAGGAAAAGGUUUGCUAAGACGUGAGGCUUUAGCGUCUAGAUUCGACUAGGUCGAUAGUUCUAUUGUAUUUUUGUUGAGUUGUUGAGUUGUUAAGUAUGUGUAGAGCGGAUCCUCGAACUCUUUUAUAUAGAGUUAUUUUAAGGCCACAGGUAUUGGCCCAAUUGGCCCAAAGUAUAUCAAAGACUUGUGGAAGUCUUCAACGUUAAUAUUGUAUCGUAGGCAGUUAGCCUCAUUUGCCUCUUGAUAUAACUCUGCUAGCUAGGUAGUGAGAUAGUGUUUGAAUACCUCGUGGAGACCUAAAGUGUCAAGACUCACCCGAAAUUUCAUUUUGAAACCCGAAGUAAAUCAUGCGGGGUCCAUCUCCAAGGAAAAUUUACUGAAAAUUCGGUAUAAUCUCCUUUGAAAAUAGACAACCCUAACCUGAAAAUACUUGCAAACACUUCUAAAAAUCCAACUCCAACCUUAUACUCCUAGAGCCUUCGUGCUCUCUGAAUUCACGACACCUCCCAAAUUAUUCACUAAUCUAAAUAAUUAAUCUCACAACCAAUAUUCAUAGGUUCAGAGCAACUCUAAUAGUGAAGAGGAGAAAUAAAAAUAUAUUAAUGAGCGAAAGCUACAUUAUUGACUAUGCCUCGUCUCUAUGUACGUCUGACCUCAACUAUGCUGACUUACAAACUGGGCAUUUAAAACCGAAGGGCCCAGGGGAUAAGCAUUUGAAAACGUUAGAGUGAGUGGACAAAAAGUAAGGUUAUGAGUAUCAAAUAAUUAAAUAAAACUUUCUGCUUUCCCAAUUUAAUUUCUGAAGAAAAACGGAUGCAUGCCUCAAGCGUUAAAACUUUUAACUCAACAACUGGCAAUUACUGAUAAUACGUGACUAGCCCCAUUAGUCUCCAAAACUUUAUAAAAUAUCGAGCCUCUCAAGCUCUAAUAAAAUAAGUAUGUAUUUACACACGUCCAUACUCCCUAUAUAAAUUUUAUAGAUUUAAAGAAAUUUAUAUAGGGCUACUACGCUCGUGUCUAACGCUCACGUCACACCAUAAUGCAGUUAUUCACUACGCUAUUAAGGUGGACAAACGGGUGUAUAUAUACGUGCACAUACCCCUUAUAUGAAUUAAAACACUCAUAUAUGGUUACUACGAUUGCGUCUCACGCUCACGUCACACCAUAAUGGCGACUAAUUGCUACACCAUUAAGGCGGAAAGACACGUAUGGCUAGCUAACAUUUAUAUACAUACUCUCCUCAUAAAUCUACACAUAUAUAUAUAUAUAACCACCGAAAAAUCCCAUUUUCGGUAACUCUCCAAAAUAAAGAAAAAUUGCCCAAUUAAAAAAACAUCACAUGCUCCAAUAAAAAGCAACUGUUCAACAAUAACCCAACGCAUGCAUAUUAUUUAAAACAAAAGUUCACUCACAGUAUUAGGCUUAAACUUCCCAAUAUAAUAACCGGAAUCGAUGCCCUCAAACAAAACCUUAACCUUCACGGAUUCUACGCGACUUGUCAGAAAUACUCACAAGAUUCCGGCGACUUGCCGAAAAUUAGCCAUUACCUCCCCGUAGGCUCCAAUUCUUCAAUCGAUCUCAAAGCUCUAGCCUAGCAGCUCCCCUGAUCGAAACUCAACCUGCAGAAACCUCCAAACACUAAUGCUGCCUCGGUCGCCAACUCCACCAAAUCAACACCACAUCACCUUAGUUCCUCUCAACCCAAAUGCAUCCGACCUCUACCUCAAUCCGAAUCGACCUGCAAUUCCUCCAAGGUCCAUCUUGGCAUCACACAAAGCAUAGAGGACCCAUCAAAACUCGAAGCACUCAUCGGAAACCAUCGAACGCAGAUCGCCGGAGCAUCGGCGUCCAAUGAACUCGCUGGAAAACGUUGGAAAUCGGUGAACACAGUCGAGCUACCCUUCGAUCGAUCUCCUCCGAAAUCGGGUUGCAUGUAAGUGUACGUGAUCUAUGGACUGGGUUUUGUAGAGGAUGAAGAGAGGAGUGAUUUGGUGGUGGUUUCACGGCAUGCAGCAGCCAAGAUCGACGACGCCACGCCGGAGAUGGAGGAGGCAGCCGGAGAGGGAGAGAGAGAAGUCUGGGCUCGGGUCAAACCGAGUGCAUGUGGGCUUUUCCUAAAGUCAACCCAUCUCAUUUCCCUUUAUACCCGAACCAACAGCAAAUAUCAAAACUCUAAUUGAUCAGACGGCCCCGAUUAAAAGUUAUAUUCUAAUUCCAGAAAAUUAAUUCUAAUAUCAAACCUUCGAUAAAUCGUAGAAAAUACCUCGAAACUUCAAAAAAUAAAUCUGAAGACACCGGUGAACUCGUGUCGACACAAACUACGACAUCGAGACCUUAACAAAGGAAUUUGACAUUUCAAGAAAAACUCGAAAAUAAAUUUAAACGCUAACUUACUAAGUUACCGAGCACAGUUAAAUUCUUCAGUAACUUGUAGAAUAUCCAGUAAAUAAAUAAAAUUGGGUACGGAGCGUUACAUAAAGACGUUCUAAGCUUAUCUUGCUGAAUGUGCAUACGUAUCAUGUAUACAUGAUUAAGGAAUAGAAUCAACCCCUUCUCAUACAAGCAACACGUGCACGUGUAGUCCCUCAAGCCAAGCAUGGAUAAUUGUUUCCUUCUCUAAUUGAGAUACUAUAGGCGGAGUCCGCAUCUUUUCUUCUUUUACGCGAACUACUAGUCUUCGCAUGCAAGCAAUCUCCUCGCCUAUAAACUCCUCUUUGCAUGCAACUGCAUUGUCUAGCUCGAAUGACUUUGUUGGUGGGCCAUCACUUGUAAACCCACUAUUUUGGGCUCGCCGGUGCGGACUAUGAAUUUAACUAAUAUUCACAUAGACAAUUAUUGUCCAGUAAAAUAUUAAUUUGGGUGUAAACAGGGAUUUUUCAUCUAUAUAUGUUUUUUCACUUCUAUAUAUGUUCUUUUAUUUUGUACUUUUGUUCAGAGAUGAAAUUCAAGUGAAUUGUAACAAAUCUGCUGGUGUUGGUAACUGAGGAUAUCGAGUUAUCUGUCAAUUUUAUGUAUGUUAGUUUGAACUUUGAUGCAAUCAAUGAUAUGAUUGUAUGUAGAUGCGAGGCAAACAAUUAAACUAUUAAUUAUUAAUUAGACUCGUAUCAUUGCAUUGGUUUUUGAUUAUUUAAACGAGACGUACUUAAUUGAGACCUGAAUGAUACGCAAAUGACCGUUAUUUCUUUUCCCGCGUCUUUGUUAAGUUUCUUUUCUAAUUAACAUCCUAUAUAUAGUUACGUGUCAAGUAUCUUUCAUACACCUAAUUGUGAAUUGUGAGCAGCUUGGCUGAGGAUUAAGAAGCAUAGUUCAGCACCAAUGUUCUUAUAUAUACCUACCUAGAGUAUAUUAUUAUACCAAAUUUAAUAUUGAUUUCACACAUAUUAUAUUAAUCUGAUCGAUAUCUUCUGUGAUUCAAGCAGAUAUCGAAGAAGAGCUCGAACAAUCUGGUGGGAUUGAAAGUCCAGUUCAGCCGGAUGUAAGUCGAUCGAGAUCAUCAGCUUCUUUUUCUUUCCUUCAAUAAUAUUGGUGUUUUCUGCCCAUGCAGUUAAAACACAUGCAUCAAUAUCUAGCUAGCUCUAAUCUUACUAAUUUGAAUGGUUAUUAACAUACAUUCCUCCACAAAAUUUUAGUCCUUCGGCGACUAUUACAGUUAUGCUGAAGAGAACAACAUGAAAAACGCUGCUGCUGCUACAUCAAGCACUCCGCAGCAAAAGACUAAUUAAGGCCAGCCAUGGUAGGAAGCGGAAGAUGACCGGAAAAGAGGACCCUGCUGCCCCAUCCAAGGCUUUGGCCUACAAAGAGCUUAAACGGGGUGACUAUUACUGGCCUAAUCCUACUAAGAGCAAAUGCACCUAUUUUAGGUGGGUUGGACCAAUCCUUAACCCGGGCUAAUCCACUAUUCAUCCAAAUCAGUCCUUGAUCUUUGGUUCGACGAUACAACAACGAGACCAAUCUGAGGACCAAUUACUAUUCACUUUUUAUAAAAAUAUGUUUUAUUGAUAAACAAUUUUUGUUUUUUACUUUAUUAUUGAAUUCAAUAAUUAUUUAUUUAUAAACAAGAUGCUCAUGUAAUAUAUAGAAAGAAAUUAAAACUACAAUUAUUUAUAUAAGAUAUGAAUGACCAAUGUGGAAAGGACACGUGUUCAUAUCAAUAUCGUUAUCUUUCAUAAAUAUCUAAAAUUUCCGAUAAAGUUAUACCAAUAAACAGACGACACGUGUCCUUUUUAGAUAUCGUUAUCUUUAGAAAUAAUUGAGAUGAUUUCGGAUAGGAUUUCAAGCAAAUCACGACAUGCCACGUGUGUAGACGAUAAUAGUUUGUCUCCCAAAAAUGUCAAUAAAUAAGCUUUAAACUCAUUCUACAUUCACACAUUCAUCUCAUUCAUCUCUUCCUUCUAAACUCAGAUAUUAUCAUCUAUUUCACUUCUCACAUUUUUCAUGGAUCGUAUUAGAAAUUAUUUGAGAGAGAGAGAGAUGAAGAAGAUGAAGAGCACAUUAUGCAGAUUCGGUCCAACAAUGUUCAAGCCGCUGCAUUGGUUGCCCAGUAUCACCAUAUGCAGAUGCAGACUCCUCAAGGUCGUGGUUCACGUCCUGGUCGUGCCCCUAACGUCGAAAGACAUAGGCAAUCAAGAGGGGCUAACAUGAUGGAGGAUUAUUUUGUCGAGCGUCCAGUGUAUAGCAACACAAUUUUUCGUCAGCGCUAUCGAAUGCAAAAACCAGUAUUCAAUCGCAUCAUGGCGGACCUUUGCAAUUUCGACGAUUUUUGGAAGCAAAAACCAGAUGCCACAGGAAAGCUAAGAUUGCUCCCAGAACAAAAAAUGACAGGUGCGUUACGAAUGCUCGCAUAUGGUGCAGGGGCUGAUCAAUGUGAUGAAGUCACCAGGAUGGGAGCAUCAACUGCUUUGAAAUGCCUCAAGAAAUUUUUUGCACAAGUGGAGUAUUUGUACGGGGGUUGGUAUCUUCGAGCUCCUAAUGUCGCAGAUCUGCAAAGGCUUCUACAUAAAGGACAACAACGUGGUUUUCUCGGCAUGAUUGGGAGCAUCGAUUGCAUGCAUUGGAAGUGGAAAAACUGUCCAAAGGGGUGGUCCGGAGCUUUCUCAGGCCGUAAAGGGUACCCUACUGUUAUUCUUGAAGCUAUAGCAUCCUACGACACACAUGUAUGGCAUGCCUUCUUCGGUACCCCAGGAGCUCAAAAUGACCUUAACGUUCUCGGAGCAUCCAACGUGUUUGCAAGGGUUAUUAACGGAAGUGCUCCGGAGGUUGCAUAUAAGGUAAAUGAUAGUACAUACUCUAUACCAUACUACCUUGCUGAUGGAAUAUACCCAAGGUGGCAGACAUUUGUCAAAGCAAUAUCCAAACCCAAAGAUGCCAAUGAGACACACUUUACCAAAAUGCAGGAGUCUUAUCGUAAGGAUGUUGAGCGGUGUUUUGGUAUUCUUCAAGCUCGAUGGGCCAUACUCCGUCACGGUGCUAACUUGUUCAAACUAGAAGACCUUCGUACUAUCAUGGUAAGUUGCAUCAUUCUUCAUAACAUGAUUGUGGAAGAUGAGUUUGUCGAAGAAGAAUUUGAGGAGUCUUGUGAAGAGGAUAACUUGCAUCCAUUGUUGGCUAGCGUUUAUGAACGACCGGUGGAUCGGGAAGGUAAUGUUAUCCGCCAUGAACCUGUUUUGAGGGCUGGAGAAACCCUACCAGCAUUCUUAGAUGCUAACUUCCAAUUACGUUCUGCUUACCUCCAUAAGGCAUUGCAAGAUGAUUUGGUGAUUCAUCUUAGCAAAUGAUUUUCAUAAUCAUUUGAUAAAGCAAUGCUCUCCUUAAUUUGUCAUUUUAAUUUCACUCGAAUAAUGUUGUAUGUGUGUUUUGUUUAUUUUACUUUAAAAAUAUUGUACGUGUGCUUUGUUUGUUUCCUUUCAAUAAAAGAAAAUUAAUUCACUAUUAUUAGUUCAUAACGAAUGAUUGACCUUUAUUUCAUUAAAUAGAAAAAUGCAUAAUACAAUCAACUUAACAAUUAAAACACAACACUCUAUUGUGGGGAUUGUGGUUCCUCAAAAAGAGGCCUAUAGCAAUCCGCAUUAGCAUUAGGAUCGGUUUUCCUCCUAAUGUCCCGCUUCAAUUUUUUGAACCAAUCUUGUGAACCCGGGGAAAUAUCACUAUUCCGCAUGGCCAUUAUCCUUGCAUCCUCUUUUGCCUCUUCAAAUGCCAUCAUUCUUGCACUUUCGACACGACGGUCCUCUUCUCUUUUUCUAAGAAUCUCAUUGGAAAUUUUGGUGCUCUCAUUCAUGGCUAGUAGGGCUUGAACCAUGGAUUCACCCACAUCUUCUUUCUUUUUUCCUUUCCUUCUUGCUUCUUUGGCGGCCUUUUGUCCCAUUGGCCUUCCGACGGAGCUAGGGGGAGUCUCCAAAACAAUUUCUUCAUCAUCCAAAUUAAUUGGUGAUUCAGUUUGGGGACCGCUAGCCGUGGAGUAAACAAAGGGGUUAACUUGAGGCGUUGGUGCAUCUCUAAAAUAAGGGUGAUCCUUCACCGCCUCUCAACACUCCUUAUGCUCGAAUUGCUUUUUAAUCACCCUCAUAUACUCUAGGUUAAUUUGAUGCUCCUAAUUAAAAAAAACCAACAAUAAUAAAACUUAAUAACCAUAUUAAUUUGUCGAAAUAUAUUUAAGUGGAUNNNNNNNNNNNNNNNNNNNNNNNNNNNNNNNNNNNNNNNNNNNNNNNNNNNNNNNNNNNNNNNNNNNNNNNNNNNNNNNNNNNNNNNNNNNNNNNNNNGGUAACCGUCGCCCAUGAUUCGCACAAUUGUAACUUCCUCCUCGGGUGGUCCAAGAACUACCCACCUCUCCCAUUUGAUGAAUGAAAAAUGAAAAAGAAGAAGAGAAGGAAGAGAUUUUUUUUUUUAUGAAGGAAGAGAUAUGAUAGGUAAAGAGUGUGAAAUGUGAAGAAGAGUAGUAAGGUAUUUAUAGAAAAAAUUUGUUGAUUUUUUUUUUUAAAUUUCAGUUUUGUCUGCAUAAUGGAAUAAAUCCGUUGGGAUGGAUUUGGAGCCAUCAGAUCUCAAUCCUACAGCCCUUAACAUUUGCCCGUUAUUCUUUAUGAAUUUGUUUUUUUCUGUUCAAAAAAUGUCGUUGGUACUUAAUUUGGUCCGUCAGAUCUUGAUCUGAACGACCCAAAUUAAAGACCCGUUGGGGAAAAGCUGACUGCCCAUGUGCAUGAUUUCUUCCUCCAUGUGCAAGUUGGUGUCAGUGGGCCCGUUCAUAAAUCAGUCCAGAGUGAGACCUGGGUUGAGAAUUAACCCAGACCACAAUCCAGCUUAGUAGGUCCCCCGUGGGGCCAGCAAUCAACCCAGAUCAGUUUCUCUCCGCUGGAAGCUGUUUUUUACGCACUCCUGGUCCAACCCUUCCGAUUAGUCUUCUGCUGCAUCUGCUCUAAAGAUCGUACUCCUCGGAGGAAAUGCCGCAAGACCCGCAAGUACAACGUUGUGUACUACUGUAUCAACUAAGUACUGGCAAGCACAAGCUGCUAUGCCCCAAAUCUAAAUAAGGCCUUACUUGGCCAGAACUCUUUUCAAGAACCUUAUUAAAUAAAAUCUUUGUUAGCUAUAUAUGUUUCGUCUGUGUUUGUUUUGUGUGGGAAUAAAUAUAGCUAUCUUUGUCCUUGUUGGAGGGUGAUAGCCAGUGGCUUCAAUGUCGAUUGGGACGAUUGGCAAAAUGCCUAUAUAUGUCCACGGAGUUGUAACAACAAUAUUUCACUAUAAUGCCUAUGUACCUGCUAAAGAGAUGCUUAAUUUUGUUAAGUGUAGCACCCUUGAUCGAAGGAAACACCCCUUGGUUUUAAAUGACGCGCAAACUUACUCUUUUGUUUUUUUCGAGUUUACCGGCUAAUAUUCAAAUUUUAAAAUAAACCUAGAACGAAAAAUCAACAUGAGCUGAAUCUUUCUAUUUUCACAACAAAUCAAAGGCGAUCAGAGCUAGUACAAACUGUACAAUCCUCUUGAGGAAAAAAAAUGGUGGAGAUAUCGUGCAUGAGGUACGCGAAUUUAUUAUAUUUAUUUUAAGUGCAUGCAUUCGUAUCUUUAUUUGUGCAUGGUUAAGUUAACAAGCUAAAAGUAUGGUCUUCGUGUAUAGCAACAAAUCAAGUGAUCGAGUUGUGUGAUCGAGAGUGUGAAUAGCUAUAUCUUAGGGUACAAGAGGUAUCAGAUAUGAUUAAACUACGAAUCUUGUACAUGUAUAAAUCUCUCAUUAGCUAAGAUAAGAACUUGGAAACUCUUCAAGUUCGUAGGUAAGAAUUUUGGUCGAAUCUCAUGAAAUUUUAUGUCUUUACGGGCUUAUUCACAUGUUUAUUUUUAUCAUUUCAUCUCUUGUUUUAGUACGUAAUUUCAUAGUGGAGAUUAAUUUCCUAACAAUUACCCCAAAAUUUUAAAGACAUAGUGCUAGCUAACAGCCAACUAAAUAUUCCAGCUUACAUGGAGAGUGAUUAGCCGUUACAUUUCUGCUGCUCAUACACGUUUUAAGUAUUGCAGGGUGUGGAUUUCCUAUAUACAUACCAUAAACACAUAUACCACCUCAUUUGCCUAAAUCCAGAUCUGACUCGAUCUGAACGCCUGAAAGCUCAUUUUGUUUAGAGUUGUCAUUUGAAGAACAAAUCAACAUGUUGAGAACAAAUCAACAUGAGUAACAGUACUGCUAAUCCUGAAGAACUUGUGAACACGAAAGGUAUAAUCUUCAUCAGACACCAAGCUAUCUGAACGAUAUCUAUCUAUUACAUAUCAAUGAAAAUAUACUUUUUGCCAAAGAAACAUACUGUAUCAAUCAAUUGAAUGAAAUUAGUACGUCCUGGGUCACCAAUCAUAUCACCAUAUAUUUUGCUUAAAUAUUGAUUCUGUUGGUAUGAACUUUGGUUGGCAUUCCUAUAUGACUAUAUCAAAACUAUAAUACGUGCUAAGUGGUUAAGGCUAUUACUUAUGACAUCUUUGAUAAUAGAUCACAUGAUUCUGUGUCAUUAUUAAUUGAGAAAUUGUUUCAUAAUCAUAUCAAGCUAAUAUAUUGCAGAAGAUGUGAAUCCUAAGUCUUUAGGAUUUUCAUGUUGAUUAUAUGAUUAAUUGAUAUUUAGUUGAAAGGAAAGAAUCCUAUUUUGAUUAGGUUCUAUGAUGUUUGGUUUAUCAUAUCGUAUUAAUGCAGGGCAAUAAGAUCUUAUGUCAUUGAUCUUAAUUGUGAUAUGCAUACAUGCAUAUACAUGUGUUCUUAAUAUAACUCUUCCAUAUGCUUGAUUGUUAGAUAUUAUAAUUGGAAUGAGUUAUUUGCAGGUGAUGUUUCCGUGGGACUAAUUGAGUCCUAACUUGGUUAGGAUCACAAUAUGUGAUAUGAUUGUGGAAUCAAAUAAAGGAAAGAAGAUCUAUUUUGAAUAGGUCUCCUAUGCUAGCCGUGUGAAGGAAAGAAAGAAAUCCUAUUUUAUAUAGGAUAUUCUUUUUUGGUUUAAAUAGCUAAAUAUCUUGUUAUUAUUACAAGGUUUUUAACUCUGAUGUAAAUUCCUUCUUGAGACAGGGAUUAGGGUUGCUGGCGUGAGGUUCUUGUUGCUGUAUAAAAGGGACGUAUGACAAAUGAAAGGGGUUGGUCUCUGCACGCUUGGCGUCUAAGAGAAAAUUGUUUUUAUUCCGCUGCUCAUCUAAAUAUACAAGUUCAAAUGUUCCUUGUUGAGUUGGACUUGUUGUAGUUGUGAUUGUGAUUCUCUUGUGUGUUGAGAGAAGUUCAUUGAAGAAGCAAGGAGAAGACGUUCUGCCUAGAGAUAGGGAUUUGUAAUAGUAUAGGGUUUACAAAGUGGUUCUAAGACUCUACACAAAUUCAUCUAGUUGAGUUCGUUUUCUGAGCUUGUGCUCCGCUGUGAUUUUUCCUCUAUUUUGAGGUUUUUACACAGCGUCAAAAAUCUGGUAUUCUGUGUUAAUUUUCUGUCAGUUCUUCGAGGAUUGAAACGGUCUCUGCAUCACGUUUCAGUACCUUCAGAUUCUAAGUAUCUUUUAUCGAUCUCACCUGUGAAAAUAUGCAGAAACUGCUCAUGAUCAGCAACAGGCCAAGUCGGCAAAGAAGCAAGUGAGGCUUAACUCUUAAGUCCUAUUAAAUUAAUAAUUGAAGCUUAAUUUAAAGGCCAUGUUUGUAUUAAUUUAGUUUGUCUAUGCAAUUUCCCUUUUUCUCUUAAAUAGUAGUACUGCUGGGAUUUCAUUUCAAUUAAUUUGUUUGUGUAGGUUGUGCUGAACAAUAGAUCACAACUGAAGAAUCUAUGUGAGGCAUAUAAAUUGAAGCAACCUGUUUAUGAGUGCUGUAAAGAGGAAGGGCCGUCUCACCUGAGGAUGUAAAUUCAUCAUAUCAACAAAUUUACCGGUGUUUUUGUUAGCUAGCUGCUAGCAGAUAGCUAGUGAACUAACCAAUAUCAUAUAUCUAAUUGAUUAAACCUCUCAGGUUCACCUUCAAGGCUUCAAGGUCGAUAUGGAGACAAAAAAGGAACCCUCAGAGCCAAACACAGAAGUGGAAUGCUUUAGUGCACCGCAUUCGACAAAGAAAGCUGCAGCAGAGCACGCCGCAGAAGGAGCAUUGUGGUACUUGGGCAAGCUUGGUUAUUAUUAGUUCAGAUAGGGGUGAAAUAAGCUAUAUACUGGAACUUCGCGCGGCGCUGAUCUUUCGUAUGAUUUCUUUCAGUUCUGCUAUUGAGAUGCAUUAGAAUAAUUUGUGAUUAACCGGUUUGGAUCAAGUAUUCUCAUUCGAUCUUCUUUCUGGAAAGAUAUUGAGAUAAAGUAAAGUAAUUAAGAAUGUUCUGUUAUUUGAGUUGUUGAAAACAAAAGAUGAAGAAGUGAAGUUGGUAAGUGAAUUGAACCCGUCAUAUUUUCUGUGACUACUAUUUUCUUUAAUUUGUAACAUCAACUGAUAUUUAAAGCUAAUUUCAAAAUCCAAAUACAUGUGUGAUGCCAACGGACAUGGCGGGGAUGGGUUUUCCUCAAUAUUGUUACUUAAUCCGAAAAAUUUAUUGUCUCCAUCUUCGCACAUUAUGCUUAUUUUUAAGGAUGUGGAAGUUUCCAUCAAUGGAGUUCCGCAUUUUAUUGUUCUUAAUGUGAUUUAAAUAUUCAUCGACAUAUUUCUAGUCAUUGUAUUAAUUGCACUCAAUUAUAUUGUACUACAUGUCUACAACUCUACAUUACACUAAACUAUCAAUAAAGACGUAUUGUUUUUCCGACGUUUAAAAAACCUUUUGCUCUUCCACUUUUUUUUUUAAAGAGAAACCAUAACUAACUUAUAUCUUUGGUGACGACAAUGCUUUGUAUCACCCCGCCCUAAAUAUCCAUACCCGACCUUAGGAGGAAUCUCUGUACGUCAACGGCCUAUGCCUUUGCUUCUGAAAGCAUCAAAAUGACAAUGGGGAAUGGAGGAACCAGGAGGACAUCUCAACUUUCUCCUCCCCCUCCCCCUGAUUUAUUUGAAGAUAGAAAACUUGGCGAGAGGAAUAUCUAAGUGGCUCUUCUUCAUCCCAAAAAUAAAAAAGAAAAGAAAUGGUUGCUGGUUAUGGAUAUUGGGCCAACCGGGUUCGCGGGGCGGGUCAUUAAUACGGGCGGGUUCAAACCUCUUUAGGGUCCAUCUGCUGCGCACUUGCUUCCCUUUCUUCAUCUUCCAUGGUCUCUCUCUGUUCGAACUGAUUACGACCCUAAACUCUUUGACUCGGUCCCGAGUCAACUCACCCGGCCCGAGUUAACAAUGGACACGCACUCUUCUCACCUCGCCGUGUCCAACCGUUCCCGGAGCUCACAGUCCCCUUCGCCGUCCCACUCGGCCUCCGCCUCCGCCACCUCCUCCAUCCACAAGCGCAAGCUCGCGUCUGAGGACCACGCGCCUCCCUUCCCUCCCUCCUCCUUCUCCGCAGACACUCGCGACGGCGCCCUCACCUCCAACGACGACCUCGAGAGCAUCUCCGCCCGCUGCGGCGGCGCCGACUCCGACUCCGACGAUGAGUCCGAGGCCCUGGGCGACGACGACGAGGACUUCGACCACGACUCCUCCAUGCGAAACUUCACCGCGGCGCGCCUCGACAACAGCGGCGGUUCCGCCGCGGCCUCGGCGCGCAAUUCGAAGCUCAAGACGGAGAAUUUGACCGUUAAGAUUGAGAAUUCGGAUGGUGGAGUUAAGGACGGCGGCGGGAAUGCCGGGACCGGCGCGGUGGGGCCUACUUCGUCGGUGCCGGGAAUAAUGGUGAAGGAGGACGCAACUAAAAUAUUCACAGAGAAUAUACAAACCAGUGGAGCUUAUAGCGCUAGAGAAGAGCUAUUGAAAAGAGAGGUACACAUUGUGUUUAUGUGAAAUUGAGCAUUAUGGAUUAGUGUGUAAUUUGCUUGUUAUAUGAAGUUGUAUUGUUGUAUGUGACCAAUUUUAGGAGGAAGCGGGGAGGCUCAAGUUUGCAACGCUUUCGAAUGAUGGUGUAGAUGAGCAUAUGAUCUGGUAUUUGUCUCCGAUCAACUUUGGUUAAUAACAUGGAACGGAAUCAGUGGAAGCUAGAGCUAGUUUUUAUGUGAAUUAUGUGCUGGUUUGGAGUUUAAUCUAUGCCUAUACUUUUGGUUAUCUCAGGUUGGUAGGAUUGAAGAACAUAUUUGCCAGGCAACUACCAAACAUGCCCAAGGAGUACAUUGUUCGACUGGUUAUGGAUAGGUAAUGCGACUAGCUCAAUAGCUCAUGCUAUCUAUCUGUAGUUGAUUUUAAUAUAUCCUCUAAAUUUGUUUCUGGUCUUCACAUUCGGAUGACAGGAGCCAUAAGUCGGUUAUGGUUAUCAGACGUAAUCAUGUUGUUGGUGGCAUAACUUAUCGACCAUAUGUCAGGUAAAGUUUAUACCUUUUUCUCCAUCUACACAUCCUUACACACAACUUUAAGGUUCUAAUAUUUGCACUGUAUACUCGAAUGAAAUCUCAAUCUAUAUAAGAAGGACUACUAGAUCAAUUUUGUAAAAUCAUUCACUACAUUUCCGGGUUUUAUUCUGUUGUCAGAACUACCACUGUAUUGUUAUUUCAUAAUCCCAUUUUCAUUUUGGCACCCUUAAGCAAUCUCUUUAGUAUCUUUCUUCCUUGAAUUGUCUGUAGCAUUUUAAAACUCUUUUCACUGUCUGUGCCUCUGAAACUUCCAGAAACUCUUUGAUCAUAUCUGUUGAUCUAUUAUUAGAUACUUAAAUACUUAGCAGUUUAGUUGGGGUUCAUAUGCCUGAAGAGCUUGAACAUGUAAUGAUUAGGCACUUCGAAGUUGGUUCACCCCCAUGUAGUGAACUUUGCCAAACUCUGUCUAUUCAUUGUUGUUCCUGUAAAACUUCCAGGAACUUUUAGUAAUAUCUAUGAUAAGAUAGUGGUACUAUACAGUCGGUGCUGGUAGUCUUAGAGACCCAAGAGAUUGCACAUGUAAUAAAUCAUCAAGCCAUUGUGCAGUAUUAACAAAUGUUCUUUUAAUCUUUGAUCUAUCGUAGCUUCUGUAUCUUUGUAUAUGAAAGGGGAAUAAAGUUAUGGUAAUUUAGAUAAUUCAUGCAUUACUGUUAUUGUUUCAUCUACGAGCUACCACAGUCCCCCAUUUUCCAACACUCUGCUUUUGGAUUACAGCCAAAGGUUCGGAGAGAUAGCUUUUUGCGCAAUCACAGCUGAUGAACAAGUAAAAGGUUAUGGCACCAGACUUAUGAAUCACUUAAAACAGCAUGCACGGGAUGUUGAUGGGCUAACCCAUUUCCUGACAUAUGCUGACAAUAAUGCUGUUGGCUAUUUUAUUAAACAGGUCUCUUUAUCUAUUCUUGAAUCUUCUUGAAGGAUUUAUACUGAUUGCUUCAGCAUAAACUAAUAGUGGCAAAACUAUAUGUGCUUUAGAAAUUUUGGGUCUGAAGUCUCAGCUUUUGAAGUACUUUAUUCGAAUCUCUUUCUUUUUGUGCUCCUUAUUGAUGGACUGAAAUCUUAUUCAUUUACUUGCAGGGUUUUACGAAAGAGAUCUACUUGGAGAAGGACAGAUGGCAUGGGUAUGUUAUAUGCAUCACCUUAAUUGUAUGAAGACUAUCAUAUUCUGUUUUCAGAUUUAGGAGUUUGUGCCUAACCUGUCACUGAUAAAACGAAUAAAGAAACUUGUUUUGGUGUCAAUUUGGCGAAGGGACCUAGCAUUGGUACAACUGCUGCUUUAUUUUCUGUACAUUUAGUUACCAUUUUUAAGUCAAAUGUAUCCCAAGAAAAAUAGGAAAUAUAAGAUAAAAAAUGAGUGUGUGAGCUACUUGUCCUUCAUUAGUAAUGUGUUUCUAGAUGAUUAUAUGUUACUGCGUCGGAGAAUCUUUUUAUAUCAAUGUCCACAUUUUUUUAUGGUUUGCAGCUAUAUAAAGGAUUAUGAUGGAGGAAUCCUAAUGGAAUGCAAAAUAGACCCAAAACUUCCAUAUACUGAUUUAUCAACUAUGAUUCGUCGUCAAAGGCAGGUAAUAAUCAAUUUGUUUGCUUAUAGAGAUGUUUAUAAUCAAUGUUUAAAUGUGUUUCCAUCUUAAAGUAGUGAUGGUGGAUACCAAAGCAUGUAUACUGCACCAACAUGGAUUUACUCUAACCUGGACUUCUGCAUGUUUUAUCAUAUUGUAGGCAAUUGAUGAAAAGAUAAGAGAGCUCUCAAAUUGUCAUAUUGUUUAUCCUGGCAUUGAUUUCCAAAAGGUAUAUCCUGAAACUUAUCUAUACCUAUGUUAAUCGAUUGCAACAGUUUUUCAUAUAUGAACAAGUAACCGGUUGAGUAUUGAACAUGCUACUGACCGCUACUGAGAAUCUGCUGCAUGGCACUUUUUUGCUGUGCCUUUCUUUGUUUCUUGAAACUUUAUUUCUGAACUUGAAUUUAUAUAUAUUCAGAAAGAAGCUGGUAUUCCUAAAAAGCUCAUCAAGGUCGAGGACAUCCCUGGCUUAAGUAAGUAAUUUUGCUUAACAAAGCAUUCCAUUAUGUACUUCUUGGAUCAGUAGGUCUGUAGGUGUAUCUCUUUUGAUUCUUUUCCAAAACAACCUUUAGACUGAUUUUCAGGUUUGAAUGCAGCCUUAAAUGUUGAACUUCAAAAUAAUUAUCUUUAUUUAUUUUUUAUGUAUGUCUAGACUAGUUGAAAGUUAAAUAUUUACAAUCAUAACGAUUUGUUUGAAAACAAGAAAAUUUUGUUUUACUAUUACAGUUUAAAGUACUUAAUAGUAUUGUAUAAACUAGGCUACUGGACAUAUUUUAGGAGUCUAACAUAUUACAAUUUCAGGAGUCUAACAUAUUACACCAACUAUGAGGUUUGGGCUUUUUUACAUUAGUGUAAGUAAGCAUUGGAAUGAAGUUGGGACUAGAUGCACAGUAUGUACCACCUGAAAGUUAGCUUCUAAUAAGCAAGAGUACUUUUAACUAUCUUAUAAAGUAGGAUGCAGAACACUUGAAACUUGUAGAUUGCAGAACACUUGAAAUUGUAGAAGACUUGGAACUUAGACUAGUCAUAUAGGACUUUGGUGGAGUAUAGAUAUGCUACCUACAGUCAAUCACGAGAGAAGCACUAAUAUCAUGAAAGUAUCUUUGUUUAUACCCUAAGGAACUCAUCAACUGAGAUGCUAGUUUAGUUUGUGUUUGUGAUGCUGGAGUGCUAAUUUGAAGUUUAUGAUCAUUCUGAUAAUAGGGGAGGCCGGGUGGACCCCUGAUCAAUGGGGCCAUUCACGUUUUGGAGCAUUGACAGCUUCCACAGAGAAUGCCAAAAAGCAUUUGACUGCUUUCAUGCGUGCACUUCUAAAGGUCAUUUUUUUAGUUCUUCUUUCUUAAGUUCAAAUUUGAUUUUAUCUCAAUCUUAUUAGAUAAUUCCAUUUGACCUAGUAUAUUUUGCAACCCAUAUCAAGCUAUGAAUACACUGCUGGAACCUAAGGAAUAAUGGGAAGCUGGACUUUCAAAAGAAAUUUGCAUCUGUGUGUCUCUCUUUUUUUUACCUGCAUGGAUGUUGCAAAGCUUUUCUCACCUGCAUGCCUCUUAAGUUAAUAUAUUAUUCAAAUCAUUUGUUGACUUUUCCUUAAAUUAAAUAGAAUUAAAUUCAGUUUACCCCACUGUGGUUUAGAGGUGAAUUCAUGUUAGUCCUUAAACUUUCAAUUUCAUCAGAUUACCCCCCGAGCUCUUGUUUUUCUGUCUGCCGUCUCCUAUUACUCAUGCUCCGUCCAAUUGGCUCCGUCCAAUUGGGACGUUGAAAUUUGAUGACGUGUGAUGACAUUUUGGGGGUUGAGAAGCUAAAUUAUCAGAAAAACAAGAGCUCGGGGGGUAAUCUGAUGAAAUUGAAAGUUUAGGGACUAACAUGAAUUCACCUCUAAACCACAAUGGGGUAAACUAAAUUUAAUUCAAUUAAAUAAGAAAUGUAUACCCUUUACAAAAAAGAAUGUAUACAAAGAUGUCAUAUUAAGCUAUCAUCUUAGUGUCCCCUAAAGGAACCAGGGGUAGGAUAUGACAUAAUGCAUAACAGGCUUUGAGGUUUCUUGAUAGUUUUCCCCUUAAUGAAUACAAAGAAAGGUAUUUAGAAUUAUUGUAAUUACUUCACACGUAUUUCUGUGAGUUCAAAAUCUAUGUAGAUGAACAUGACAAUUUUUUGUUUUCUUAUUGUCAACACUUCGUAGAUUCUGACCAAAUAACAUUUUAUUUAAGCAGUCUAUGCAUGACCAUGUUGAUGCGUGGCCAUUCAAGGAACCAGUCGAUGCACGUGAUGUUCCUGAUUAUUAUGACAUUAUCAAAGAUCCUAUGGGUAAGGAUUUUAUUUUUGUUUCAAUCUAUGCGACAGAAUGGUUUUUAUAUCAUGGCCACCAACUUUAGUUUGGUCCUGUAUGGAAUUGUUCCAAAGUGUUUUCAUUGGAACAUGUAACGUUCCAUUUGACUCUGAUGAUGUGGUUUGGGUUGUGGGCUUGUGGCAUAGUUUGGCUUUUACAUUUUGAGUUAAAAGCUUUCACAGACUUAAUUCAUUCGAAAAACCAUGGUAAGGGGAUAGAUUUUUAGUCCUAGUUUUGUUUAGCAUAAUUAAUUAAAUUUUGCAUUAUUUCUCAACUUUGUGUUGUCGGAUAUUCAAUAUGAUGCAGAUCUAAAGACAAUGUCAAAGAGGGUAGAGUCAGAGCAGUAUUAUGUAACAUUUGAGAUGUUUGUUGCGGAUGCCAAGAGGAUGUUCGCAAAUGCAUGCACUUAUAAUUCUCCUGAUACUAUUUAUUACAAGUGUGCAAGAAGGCAUGGUGUUUGUAUCCCUUGUCAUUUUGAUCGUUAUCUAUCAUGAAUUAUAAUUUCAAUCGAGUUAUCUCUUCUUGCAGGCUGGCAUCUCACUUUGAAAGCAAAGUGCAAUCAGGUCUCCAAGCUGGUGCCAAAAUACAGUAGUCAAUUUAAUGAACAUAGUACCAUUCGUAUCAUUAUUUUCAGUUCAUGUAAUAAUGUUUUCUUGUUUCUUUCAAAUGUAAGACUUUUAAGACCAUUAAGAAAAAAGAAAUCUUUUUCCGAAGUCCUCUAUCGUGAACAGAAUCAUCAUUGUGAAUGAAUUGUGUAAGCUUACAACGUGCGCAUCCCAAUACCUCCGCGAUCAGAUGGGUUCAACUAGUUGCUUUGGAAGGUUUACUUCCGCAGUACUGGAGGUCUCAAUCCCAAAUAGGAAAGUAGAAAUUCAAAUUCAUUAAUAAAGUACUCCCAUGUUUUAAACAUCCAAUCAAGCUUUUUAUCCCCAGCAGUAAAAUCAGGAGGGAUAAAAAAGGCACUACAAUACUACAUUCAGUUCUACUUAUUCUUGGGUACUUGAUGGGGAAUCUGAGGGUUCCAACCCGGCAAUGCUUCACACGGAUUUGCUCCUGGCAGGAGUUGCUGCUGGUGCAUGUGAUCUAUGCUAGCUGUGUGCUGAACUGAAGGUACUUCAGUUGUGUUGCUGCCCCUCUGUUGGUUUCCAACCAGAGGAAUUGAGUGGUUUCCAGGGAAGGUGGUAUCUAAUCUCUGAUGAUGUGGUGGAGUGUUGAUAUUAGGAGCCACUGGAUGAAAGAGAUGAUUGGAGGUUGGUUGCAUCGGCACAGAAGAAUUGGCGGAUGCAUCCAUUGGAUUGCCUAUUGAUGCCAUGCUUGCUCUAGGUACUACAUUAGACAUGGCUAGAAGAAGUGGGUUGAUCCCUGUCUUCCUCUUAACCGAUUCUUCUGCCAUUUUCACCUGAUAUUUUCAGAGAAUGUAAGAGUGUUAACCAGUAUGAAAAAUAAAAAUCAACAAUAUAUUGACCAGGGAAAAGCAGGCACACAAGUAUAUGUACCUUUGCUCUUAAUGUCUCAAUAUUGGCUUCUAAUAUUCGUCUGUCAACAACUGAAUUAUCAUAUUUGUGAUUCACGUCAGUGAGUUGCUUUAAGAGUGCAGAGUUUUCAACUCUUAGUUGGCCAGCCUAUAUGAAACCAAACAUACAACUCCAUAAUGGUCUCUACUAACAAUAACUACUAUUGGAAAGAUGAAGAAGAGAGCAUGAUUUUACUAUUACAAAUCAAAACAAGGAGCAGCACCUGGGUCUCAAGAUCAGUCAUUUGUGCUUGUUUUCUUCUUCUAGAGCGUCUAGCUGACUCUCGAUUCGACAGCAUCCUGAGCACCAUCAACAUGUCAAUUGAUAAAGGGCUAUGUUUUUAUAUUUACCAAAUAUGGUAUUAACUCGCUUAUGGGGAGAGUAGUAUCUGUUGAAUUCCUGAUAUCAGAGUUGACAAUUUUUACAACAAACCUGUUGUCAAACAAAUUCAUCAGGGGGAAAUUCAUGUAACAGACACCAUUCCCUCAUUCCAAAUCUACUCAUUUUGCUUCAAAACAAAACUGAUUCCCAAGUGAGGCACAUGUUUGACCACCAUCCAGGCAUUCAAUUUGUUUUGUCCGUAACAUUCAAGCACACCUAAACAACCCUAAACACCAAGUCUUACUACUUACUAACCAAAGACAGGUGUACAUGACAUAAUACAACUAAAACGACAUAAAAACAAAAUGAAGUGACUCACCUCCUUGCGCGCUUCACAUCAGCAGGAUCCAUAUUCUCAGUAAUUUCAAUGUCCCCUUCCAGGUCAUCAUCAUCCGAGUCAUCUUUCGAUGAUCCACUAGUUGUUUGAGCUUUCUUCUGAAUAGCAGGUAAUGCUGGAAUGCCAAGCGGGCUAGUAUCAGCCUCACUUUGCGGCAAACCAGCACCUAGCACAUUCCAAAUUAAAAUGAUUUAGACACUAACAUUACUCAUUUUCUGAAAGUAUUAAGCAUAAACCAAUAUCAAAAUCAACACCUUUCUUAUGAAGCCCAGUGGUCAAUUGCGAAGGCUGUGGCGCUACAGAUUGAGUCUGCGCUACAUUAUCAGAAUCCACAGGCUUCAAAGACGAAGCCUGCAAUCACAUUCAUUACACAAAUUUCAGAAAAUUAAAGAACUAAAAAUAAAAUUUUCAAAAUUGAAAAAAAAGAAAUGGAAAAUUAUAAUUACCCGAGUGAGGGCGACUGCAGCACACGCGAGAUUGAGCUUGCUCUUGAGCAGCUCGCGGUACUGAUCCGAGUUAAUCUGCGCCGUGGACGGCGGAUCCGACGGCGGCGGAGGCGGACAAUUGAGAUGCUGCUGCUGAAGACGAUCGGGCUUCUUGAUCUCGACGACCUCCUCAUCGACCUCCUCGCGCUUCGACGUCGAGGAGUGGGCGGAGGCGGCGGGCGGCGGUGGAGGUGGCGGCGGAGGAGGGGAGACGACUUCCUCGAGAAACUGCUCGAAGGCCCACUCGGAGGCGCUCCGAUUCAUGGGGAGAGACGGCGAGGAGGCCCAGAAGGUGUCGGAGAUGUCGGAGAUUUCGUCGGCCGGAAAAGCCGAAUGCAUAGUCGGCGGCUUUCUCGUUUUCCGGGAUGUGAUCGCGUGGUCUUUGUGUUUGAGAGAGAAAAGAGCCCACCAACUAUGAUUCUCCCAAUUUUAAUGUAUCGGACUUCGGACAAGUAGAGCCGGAUCAGGUGCUUUGCGCAACACGGUAAUAGCUGGACUUUGUCAUCUGGUACCGUUAAUUGAGGUCACUGGACACGUGUUGGUUUCUGAUUGAAGAAGAUUGGCGGAGUUGUGUGGUACGGAGUGUAGGUUAGGGUACCCGAGAGGUAGUGACGGCGGAAUAGAGGACAAAUAUGAUAUAUGAAAGCGAGGACCGACACGUGCGGACUGAUUAACUCUGAGUUCAGUUCAGUGUAACAGUAUUAACUAUUAACAGUGGUAGUUUUCCUUUAUUACUUGGCCGUUGAUUUGAUGGAAGUUGUUCUGUAGCUUUUUGGCGCGCAAAUGACCGACUUGACGGUUACUGGAAGCUGAACUGUUUUGUACCUUCGUUGUUGUGGGAAGGCUGUUUGCUUGGUUCUUUUUAGUUCUUGUUCCUGCUGUGAGAUUAAGAAAAGAUGAAGAAUCAUAUAACUGAAUUAACUUUUGUUUUGAUAGGCUGAUGGUAAAUAAAAUAGUAGAUGUGAAAAUGGGAUCUUCAUUCAACAUUGCAACAAAGGUCUGUGUAAAAAUUACAACUGCAGGGUUUUCGCCUACAUUGAGCGCACUUGCUCCGAGUAGGAGAACUUCUGGAUUACAUAGGAUUCAGCUGUGGUUUCGAACAGAAAGGAAAAAAAAUACAAGAAAUGUGAUUAAAGGAGUGCAGAUUUCAACGACUUGGUGAAGAUUUCUAGUUCCUUCAGUCCUUCCUCGGGAGUGUUGGCAUCACCCAAGAUCUUUACGAUUGCACUACCAACAAUUACACCAUCAGCUCCCCACCCCGCUACCUGUAAAGCAUUCAUGAUUCAUUAUUGGUAUAAGCAACCUAAACCAUUAUGUAGAUUGAGGCAUUACUAACCUGUUUCGCUUGUUCAGGCUUAGAAAUGCCAAAACCAACUGCUACCGGCUUUGAUGUAGCCUGCCACAUAAAAGACAAGCAUAUUAGUCGAAAAAAAAAACUAUAUCAACUGCUAAUGUUAUUUCGGCCAGCUGCUCAAAUAAUCCAGUCCCAGUGCUCAAUUGCAUCCUAAAUGUUUCUCUUAUACACAGAACUGUUAAUUUUUUAAAUGACCUUAAAAAAGAUUAUUUAUAUCAAUUCUUGCGCAAUUGCACUAAGCACCAAAUAAAAUCAAGCUCUUGCUCAGCAAACAAGUAUUUGAUAUCUUUCUUCUUUUUUUUCAUGCAAAUAGUCAAAUGCCAUUCCAUCAAACAACAUGGUAGUCAUUAGGUCAUGUUCUAGAGAACUGAAAAAAUCAUUGAAUUCUCUACCAACAUAUAUUUCUAUGAAAUCCUACACCAUUAAAAGCAACUGAGAAAACAAACCUCUUUAAUUUCCCUUAAAAGAGCAGGAACUCGUUCAUUCACAGAUGCCCGUGCCCCCGUAACUCCAAUUGAGCUCACCUACAAUUCAAAAUGAUGCAUAUGCUUAGCAAUGAGAUAUUGAAAUCCAUAUAUACAUGAGAUAAUCUUGAUAAAUAAAAGAUAUAGGUUCAUGGAGCAACCUCAAGAAGAAAAAAACAGUGAACUUUGCAAAACCUACAUUCAGUAAUUACUUCCAUGAUAUCAAGUAUAGCUACUGCACAAUAGCUUCACUUUCUAUGCACAACAGGUUCUUAAGUCUACUUAGAGCAUAUUAACAAGUAUAUAUGUGAUAUAUCAUGAUUUAUGAGAAAAGGCCAAGAUUUCAAAAUAAAUUAAAGGACAUAAGGAUAGGAGUCUUACCAGGUACAAAAAGCCUUCGGAGGCUUCUGCAAUAGCCUUCAUUCGCUCCAUUGGAGUGGUGGGAGUAGUUAGUAAAACCUAUAAAUCAUAAAGCAUAUCUAAAGUAUUAGAAUCACAUCCAAAAGUGAGGAUAAAAUCAUCUAACGUACUGUUCACAAAUUCGAAGAGAAUGUAAAGGAAAAUGUAUUGAGAAACGAACCAAUUCAAUAUUAUUUUUCAAGGCUUCCUUUCUCAAAAUGACCGUCUCUUCCAACGGGACAUCUGGAACCACAAGUCCUACAAACGGAUAUGGAAUCAGUAAUCUAGUCAAAUUUCUUAUGAUGAACAUCUAUAUGUAAAAAGGUUUGUGCUAAGGAAAUUAUAAUGUGCAAUCUCAAUGACACGCAAAUGAGUAAUUAGAAACCACCAGCACCUUGCAACUUCUUAUUGUAAGCUGAUAGAAUAAAUUUUCUGGCCCGAGAAACAUAAUGAACAGCCUUGGGAAAGUAGCAAUAAAAAGUUGGUGGUAAUUAUAACAAUAUGUGUAUUUACAUUAGCAGGUGCUAGUACAAUCAGGGAAGACACACAUCAUUAGGUGUAACAUCCUAAAUAACAUGUACAAAUGAACUCAGUAACAACUAAUUUACAUAUAAUGACCAAUAGUUAAAGAAGUUUCUGAAUAUUAUUAUAUUGAAGAUUUCAUAAGAUUCAUAACCAUUGUUAUACGUACCAUGUACACCUACGUCUUGAAUGGUGGACAUAAACUCUCCAACACCACGCUUCAUAAUAGGAUUGUAGUAUGUAAAAAGAGCAAUCGGGCAAGACAGUUUAGGAAUCACCUGAUCAACACAUUCACCAAUAUGUACAUAAUAAGAUUAUUUUAAUUGAGAGAGAGAGAGAGAGUUGACUCAGUAAAUGAAGUUGUUAUACUUUAUAUGCUGGCCACUUCACAAUGUAUGUAUAUCAUGCUUCACUUAAGGAAGAAGUACAUAAGAAAGUAUGAGUCAGGUUCCUGCUAUUGAUAUGAUAACAAUUCUUAUUUGUGCAUCAGAUAGAGAUAUGAAGUAUGGAAAUAUGAGAAUAAAUUAGAUGCUUGGAUCCAUAUUUCAUAGGUUGCAGCAACCACAGCAUAUUUCAUUUUUAGUCACAGUAAUAGUUAUGUUCAGCAUGUUUUCACUUGUAAACAAAUAUGAUAUUACUACAGCAGCAUAAGUUUCUCAUAUGCAAAUUUCAGUAAUAAUAUUACAAGAAAUUGGUCAUUUAUUCUAGCAGCAAGUUAACAACUAUCAGACAAUACAAGAUUGCAUGGGAGAUACCUCCUUCAACAUUGCCAAGAUUGCAUUCAAAUUAGUCCCUCUUGCCAAGGCACGAGUGGCCGCGGCCUACAAAAUGCCACAAGAGGUUAAAACUUAAAAGGAGAGGAACCAGUUGAACAUCAAUUGUCAAAGAGAAUACAGAAUGACAAGAUACUAGACUAUCAACCUGAAUAACAGGCCCAUCUGCUAACGGAUCCGAGUACGGCACGCCUAGUUCAAUUAUGUCCGAUCCACAUGAAUCCAGCACCUUCAAUGCCUCUGCAGUGACUGAUAGAUCAGGAUCACCAGCAGUAAUGUAAGGGAUUAAUGCAACCUGCACAGAAGCACGUCUCUGAGCAAAACAACAUAAUUCUCAUAAAUAAACAAUCCCAUCUAAAAUCAACCACAAAUCCUGAUCCUCAAACAAAAUUCAUCUGUUAAACCUAACUGCUCCGAUAUUUAACUGAUAAAAAUAGUGCACAACAAGUAAAAUUUGCUCAAAACUGUUCAAAUCAUAUCUUCUGACCAACUAAUCUACUAAACUACUACAACUCUGAACCCUUGAUUUUACCAUAAUUUACUUCAAUCAAAGGUCUGAGCAAUCACAACCCUCUUCCCCAAACCCAACUAUGCAAUAAACCCAAUACAGAAGACAGCAGGGAAAUGUCAAAACAAUAUGUGCAUUUGCCUAUUGAUUGAGACCAAAUGAAAGCCAUGAACUUGGUGGGUCUGCAAAUUUCUCAACAGCGCUUCAAAUAUCCAAGUAGUAAUGGCACAGCAAAAUCACCAAAAGAUAAAAUCUUUACAAAUACAAUCCGUAAAUUGUAUACCUUGCCUUGCUCCUUGAGUUUGAUGAAUGUUUUGGCCAGGCCAACGGUGGUGUUGGCGGUGGUCAGAGAAGCCAUUGGAGUCAAUUUCUUGAACGAAAGGGAGGAUUUUUGAGCCGGGGACCGGAAAAGCAAUGGGGUUUGAGGGUUCUUCAGGUGAAGAAAACCAGUCGCCGAUUUAAGAGAAGAAGCCAUUAAUAAGUUGAGUAUAAACAAAUGCGAGGCUUUUGUAGGGUUCUCACUGGUCCUCUCCUGGGUUUUAGUACAGUAGUCCUCCAAGUCCAGGUCAGCUUAAUACUCCUUAUCUUACCGUUUACAUUCCGGGAUAACUUUUUCUUAUUUGGUCAGUAAUUCUUAGGGGUGGGCGAUUUGCACCCGUUACCGACCCGAACAGCACCGGAAAAAACAAUUUGGUAACCACACCGAACUAAAACAGUGUCGUUUUAUGGUCAUACCGCACCGAACCGUAUAAAAGCGGGUUGGUUGCGGUUUUAGGUUAUAAUUCAACCGAUUUAAACCAAACUGCACCAAAUUACCCUUUUUUUUCCUUUUUUCCCAUCAAUGGAUUUGGUUUGUAAUAUUCAAGUUUGUAGUUUGCAAGUUGUUGUGUUUGUAUGAUAGUUGAUAUAUGUUGAUUUAUUAAGUGAUCAAAUAUGAUGUUUUUGUUAGUUAAUUGAUAUUUGGAUGACAUUUGUAGACUUGUAUAGACUCUAAUUGCAUUCAACAUUUGUUCAUGCCUUAUAGAAAUUGUUAGGCAAACAUUUGGACAUCCCUUACUUGUUGAAAUAAAUAAAUCGGUCCACACCGAAACCGACUAGCACCGCACCAAAAAAUUGUGUAACCGAAUUAUUCUAAAACCGAAAAAACGGUUUGGUUACGGUUUGAAAUAUUCUAAAACCGAAAAAAACAGUUCGGUUACGGUUUAAGCCUCAAACCGAUCUGAACCGAACCGCGCCCAACUCUAGUAAUUCUGAUUUGGAUUUUGUGGUAACUUUCUUUUCAUUCUUGUAAAUCAAUAUAAGGUAAUGUUUAUCAAUUAUUUGUGUCUUUACAUAACGGGUCAUCUUUUUUCCUAAGUGCGGGUUAAAUAAGGGUGUGUACCUAUGUUUUUAGAGAAAAAAAAAUUUUCAUUAAAUAUUUCAAAAAAUAAAAACAUAUAUGUCCAGUAUCAUUUGGACUAAUGACAUAAGUCACUCCUUGUAAAUGCGAGGUCGUGAAUUCGACUCACAAUAGACUGGGAAAUAGAUGUAAAUAAGCGAUUCGAGUCAAAUAGAGGAUCUUGAUAUCUCAAAUAAGCGAUUUGAGUCGCCAAUGAUCUUGAUAUCUUAAAACGGUUUCUGAAUGUUGUACCGUUAAAGAUGGUCCCGUUGAUGCUAAAAGGUUUAACUUCAAGUCUAUUGUGAUUGAAGGAGAUUCUCUUUUAACGAUCAACUGCGUUAAUAAUGCAUGUGAAGUCCAUUGGCGUCUCAAAUCCCAUAUUUGAGAUGUCCUUCAUGUUGCUAGUGAGUUUGAUAAUAUCAACUUUGUUCAUGCUUUCCGAGAAGCCAACUUCUUAGCGGAUGCUCUUUCAAAUCUUGGGUACGGCCUCCAUUCUUCGAAGACCUGGCUAGGGGUCUUUCAUUCUCAAGCUGCGUAGGCUUUACAUUUAAAUAUGAUAAAUAUUAGCUGACCUAAAGCACCUCAUUGUAAUUUUAUUAUUUUUUUUAAAAAAAAUUUCAAACAGUCCAUUAAGGAACUAAAUGACAAGGCGAGAAUCACCGACAACAACAAGGAAUCUAACGUUAGCAUUCUUCGCAGCUAGAAUGCUAGCCCUUGAGGGUUGUACACUCGGCAAUGGGUGUUAGCCGAAAAGUCAUCCUCAAGUAUAAGGGGUACAAAUAAUAGUAUUGGAUUUAAAAAAAGUUGUCAAACCCACGAGGAUUGAAUUCCUUUCACUAGCUAGGGUGUUAACCUUUAGAAAGCUAGAAUAUGCAAAUAUACAAUCACAAACCUAAAUACACAAGGAAAUCUAAGCUUUGGUGCGUAUGUGCAAGAUGGACUAAUGAUUUGAUUUUGGGUUUUUGAAGUUGUGAACUAAACUAAACAAAAUGCUCAAAUGUAAACUAAAUUACUCUAAACUAAACUAGUGGUCUAAUAAAUGGUGUUAGGAUUCGAAUUGUUUACCACUAACACCUCUUGCAAAUAUUGAUGCAAAUUAAUAUGAAUGAUGCUAAGCUAAUCAACUAAUGUCUCUCUUUGCAUCCCUCUCAUGUAUGACAAGGGACAUGCUCCUUUUGUGGUAUCAAGCAACCCUUCUCGGGUGUAGUACUUAACUACUUAAGUUAUGCAAUUCAAUCCGGUUAGGCAUCUAAUGCAUUAUCCUAAGUGUAUAAAGUUUGGAGAUGAAGAAACUAUGCAAACCAACUAAGCUUAUCUUUAAGCGAUUGUAAUUCACAACCUCUACAUGCACACCUACUGUGCUUUCAUACUUUAACAUUCAAAUAUUACCAAGCUCUAAACAUUAACAUGUCAUGGCAAACACACAUACUCAAAGUGGUAAAGUCUAAGCAUAUGCAUUCAACUCUUGAACUAGUAUGUACGAAUGUUAACUAAAUUGCAUUACAUCAUGUAAUAGCAUCAAUCCAUACAAGAUUGGUUAGGGUUUUCAACCACCCUAACAAAGUACUACUCACUCAUAAUUACAUAAACAAACUCCAUAAUCAAAUUAAACAUAAAAAUAGAUCUAGAGUUUAAGGGAGAGAGUUGGCUUAGUGGUGUUUUGAUUGAUCCCCAAGCUCACGUCUUAGUGGUGGUGGUGAUGGUGAUGGUGGUGAUUCCAUCUCCUUCUUGCUCUUGAAGAUUUGAUGAUAAAAGGUAAUGAAGCUUGAUCUAUGCUUUGGGUGAAUAGGUGGAGUGGAUGAAGAAAAUGAUAGAGAAAAGAGAGUGGAGAAAUGGUGUAGUAGUGGUGGUGUUAAUGGAGGUUUGGGAUUAGAGAUGGUGGUGGUGAUGGAGUAGAUUGGGGGAGGAAGAGGAAGAAGAUGAGUUUGGAUUUUGGGAGGAGGAGAUGGAGGUUUAGUGGUAGAGAUGGAGGAAAAGAGAAAAGGGUGAAUGAGUGGAUGAUGGGUGUUGUGUAUGUAACUUUGAUUAUAUAGAUAGAGAUAGAUGAGUGAAAAGUGGGAGAGAGAAGAGAAGAGUGUGAAAUGGUGAAAAGCUCACAAAAGUCAAGAGAAAAUAUAGGGAAAUGAUGACAUAGAUUAGAGUAGGCAAUGAUGAUGUUUAAAGCAUGAUGAUGUCUAUUAUCCAAGCAAUAAUAUGAUGGAAGUAAAGAUGUUACUCCACCUUCUUUGUCAUCCUUGCUCCUCCUUCAUGGUGACCGGAAAAGCCAUGGCACCACCAAAAGUGGUGGUGAGCUGCCGUUUGUGGUGAUUCGUCGGAAUUCAGGAUUUUAUGCUUCGCUCCACAUUGAACCGCAAUUCUUCUUAACUCCGAUUCUUCAUAUUAAUACCAAAAAUUAAUGUUUCUUUCACUCUUGCAUUUUACCUAGAUAAAUGAUUUAGUGAAAAUUAAACUGAACUCAAAAACAAGUUAAAGUCAAAAUUUAAGGGAAUACAAAUAUGUGUAAAUUAUGGUCUAACAAUGGGAACAUUUGAACCAUGCAGUUUUCUGCUAACUCCAACAAGCUAGUAUAGGGGAACCAGUUUCCAAUUUGUAUGAUUGAUCGAUAAACAUAUAGUUGAGAAUUAGAAAAGGAAAAUAUAUUUGCUUGUUUUACAAUGACUUUGAUAUCGUCAUAUUUUUCCCAUGUUACUUAUGCUAAGCACGCAGAGCUCUUAGCUCUGAUAUUGGGAGUAGAGCGUGCUUUGUCCUAUCAGUUGGUAGCUUUGGUUGUGGAAAUUGAUUGCUUGGAGUUGGUACAAGCUGUGACAGGUCAAUCACUUGAUUUAGAGUUGGGUUUUCUUAUUUCGGAACUCAAACAUCCUUUGCCACAGUUAGUUAUGUCAGACGUGAGGUCAAUAAGGUGUCACAAUCUCUUACCAGGGACGCCAAAGUAGCGUUGUAUUCUAAUGAUGUUUUAAUGUUAUUCCUCCGUUUGUGGAGGUGUUACUCUCUCAUGAUUGUAAUGAUUCUUAAUCAAUGAAGUUCUUCAUUCCCAAAAAAUAUAUAUAUGCCUAGUCAUAAUCAACUCAGCUUGGAUCUGCUCUAAUCGUUAUAUAAACAUGAAGCGACUUCACCGAUGAAAAGUUGACAAGACAACUACUAGUAGACACCAAAUUUCUCUUCAAGCCGCUAAGACUCGCCCUCACGUGAUGUGACAAGGCAGCCCAACACAAGCUCAUGAAGACCGGCCAAUCCAACAUUAAGGGAUAAGUGAAGUUCAACCACUUCCUAAGCUAUAAAUGACAUCCCACUACCCUAAACAGUUGCAUAAAACAGAAAACCACAUUUCAACAGAUUUAAAUAAAUAAGGACAUAAGCCUAGACCCAAAGUUCAUAGUACCAUGCCAUGUCAGCAAUUUUUUACGCAAAAUACCCAAAAAACUAAUUUUUCUGAAAUAUCUAUAAAACUACCACUAACUCAACCAAAAAUAUCUUCUCUCUCUUUCUUUGAUCUAUCAUAUUUCAAAUUCUCUCUCUCUCUCUCNNNNNNNNNNNNNNNNNNNNACGGCGUACGUACUCUUCUUAUUCAUCUUCAUUGGAUUGGUGGUGGAUUAUUAGAAAACGAUUGGGUGGCGAUCUGAUUCAACAACUUGGUUAUGGAACCCGAUCGCCGUCGAAGUCUUCGAUCCAAAAGGAAUAAGGAUUAAGAGGAUGCUACUGUUUGUUUUUUUUUUCUUUCCAGAUUUGCUCCAUGUCCCAUUUCCAAAUUAGAAUUGGGUCUGUUUGAUUUGAUUCAAUAAUGAUCAUGAUUUUGUUUGAGAAACUUGUAUUGAUUUUAGGCAAAUUGGUGUAUUUGUUUCAAAAGAUUUGAUUAUCUUUUUUUGGGUUUUUAAGCACAAUGGGAGUUAUGCACAUUAGGUGUUUGAUGAAAGUCCUCAAUAAGGUUGUUGUUAUACAAAACCCUUUUACAUGUUGAUCAUCUAAUUGCUAUUGAUUCAAUAAUCAUGAUGUGGGAAUAAAUCCAUUUUUGCACAUUAGAAUAACAAUUUAUAGACAAGAUAAUCUGAUGAAGUUUAUACUAAUAUGUGUUAAUUAAGCUAUUGUCUAUCGAUUUCGCUAAAUACCUGCUACUGUAUUUUCUGAAAGUUGAUGCUACAACACUAGCUGAGUCACUAAAAGCUUGCUACUACUCUACUGGUAAUACCUUGUUACUACAUUUUUGGAAAUAGUUUUUAGUCUUGCUACCAACUAAUUGAGCCACUAAAAACAUGUUGCUGCACUUUUUUGAAAAUAACUGCUACUACAUUAGCUGAGUCACUAAAAGCCUGCCGCUACUACAUUUACUGGAAAUAGCUUUGCUACUGCAUUUACUGGAAGUAGUUGCUACUAUAUUGGCUGAGCCACUGAAAACAUGCUACUACAUUUAUUGGAAAUAGCUGCUACUGCAUUUACUAGAAGUAAUUGCUACUACACCAGCUGAACCACUAAAAACCUGCUAUUACUGUACGUACUGAAAAUAACUGCUGCUACAUUUGCUGAGCCACUGAAAACAUGUUAGUGCACUUACUGAAGCUGCUACUGCACUUACUGGAGUUGCUACUACACUAGCUGAACCACCAAAACCCUGCUACUACAUCUGUUGGAAGUGUAGUUUUCCAGCAAAACAUGCUACUACAUUAGCUGAUUCACUAAAAACCUGCUAUUGCACUUACUAAAGCUGCUACUACACUAGCUGAACCACUAAAACCCUGCUACUACUUCUACUGGGAUGUUAACCUCUGCUACUACUUUGUACUAGAAUGUUAACCCACGAUACUACUUCUACUGGAAUUAACUGCUACUACUACUGAGAUGUUAACCCCUGCUACUGCACUGGAAUUAACUGCUACUAUACUAAGUUAUUGAAAACACACUAUUGUAUUCCAUUUACUGAAAAAUCUUAAAAUGAGAGACUUUUCUCUUCUAAAAGCAUAUUUAAUUAGUAUAGGGUUAGUUUAGUAAAUUAAACCAUGACACAUGGCAUGCAGAAAAAAGAUUGUCCUUAAUUAUUAAAAACUGUCUUUAUUUGUUUAAUAACAACACAAGUGGAUUUAAUUGUGUUUUAAAUCUUUUUAGAGAAUAUAUAUGUAAUUUGCUAUAUUUAUUUGUCUUCAAUAACUACGCAAUUAGUACUCAACUAUUGUCACUUUGUCUACGUGAAUAUAUUCGCUAUAUAAGCCAUCAUAGUAGUGAAGACCGUCAACCGUGGUCUCCUUUUCUGACACCCCCCCCCCCCCCUUCCUUUUUCAUUUGACAAUUUUCGAAUCCAUUCACCUCAUAGAUAAUCCAACCAAUUAUAAACUUAGUCCGCCAGACAAGAGAAUCAAACCCCUCUCUAAUUCAUAAUGUAUACAGAGAACCGACCAUACACACAUGAUCAGUUGAGAAGUCGUAAGUUCUAUUUCACAUAAAAAAUUCAUAUCUAUAUUAAGGUUGUAUUGGUCUUAUAUACAUACGGUGUAAGUACAUUGUGCAAUUUUAAUUAUAACUAUUUAUAUGUAAGAAGCACGAUGUAUUUAUAUUAAUGACAUUUAUUCUUAGCAAUCCAAAUAAUAUGUAUAGAUACAUGUUAUGAACCGAAGACUCUCGGGCAGAUCAGUUAAUCUGUCACGCACAGUAUCAAGGGAAGCAAUAUUCUAAAGUGGGCCGCGGGGUAUUCGGGCCCAGAAAUUUUACUAGAUUGCCCCGGCAAAGCGCCAAAUUUAAAUGGCAACGAGAUGUAAUAAUAGAGAACUCCGGGCCCUUUCACAGAAAUAGAAACAUUUUUAAGCAGGAUAAAGCCACCCUCACUUUUCGUCUCUUCGCUCUCACACUCGUACUGAGCAGAAAGCAAACCAAAGCUUCACUCUCAAAAAGUCCUCUCUCUCUCUCUCUCUCUCUNNCNCNUNNNNNNNNNNNNNUNNUNUNUNUCUNUCUNUCUCUACUAACUACUCUCUCUCUCUCUCUCUCUCUCUCUCUCUCUCUCUCUUCUUCUUUGCAUGUAGAUGCUCUCUGAAAACCCUAACUCGCCCCAAACCCCCUAUCUCAUCUCCGAUUCCUCCCCAUGGCCAACAACCC